CCUCUCUCCCUUCUAACAUGUUACAUUGAAGUUGUAAAGGCACCUCCAAAGCUGAUCCUCAAAACGGCCCCACUAUUUGUUCGCGGACUAAUUCAAACUAGUCCACGGACAUUGAUGCAGAAGCCAACAAUCCAAUCAUGUCCCCAAAAUCUCGGCCUUUUUCUUCUUCUAAUUUUGCAACACUUAAAUAAUUAUAAAAACAUAAUUCAUCCAAAUAAUAUGCAAAUAUCCCUAGUACAACAAUAAUUCAAAUGUAAACAUUACAUCCGAGAUAACCGGCUACUCAACAAGUUUUUUCGAAUUCAUCGGAUCCAAAUUCAACGAUACUAGAGUCAAAACCAACACAUGUCGUCCCGCACAUAGUUUCCCUUGAGCUUCGUCCAAGAAUGUGUGGGCGUAAAUGGCCUACCCUCGCUCAUGUCAUAUAACAUGACAACACAUCGAGACUAUACAACAUGAUGAUUAUUAAGUUGGAACAUUGAGUGAAUCAAUGAAUUGACUAACAUAUAGAGGAACAAGAGGAAAAUGAUUUCCAUGGUUGACGAGCCCGAUGGCCUCAUUUGUCUCCACUCGUGCAACCUCAUGUCAAAGCUUUAUGAUAGAGCUGGAGAUGGUGUGCCACCGACGCAAUAAUAACUUCGUUGCGCGUUCAUGGAUGACGUGCAUGUCAUAGGGAGCGAAGUUUUUUUGCUGACCAAACGAAAUAUGCAUCGCACAACUCCUCCUCCUCGACACGACCAACAGCGCAUCGCACAACUCCUCCUCCUCGAGCACCGAGUACCCCGCCAUCUCUAGAAAACAAAAGUAAGUUUAACAAGAAAAAAAUUAAUGGCAUUUGAUCGAACACCUAUCGGACGCGCCACCACAACCCAAGUUAAUCAUAUUCUUACAUGCGUCGUUGCAAAAUAAGAAGGAAAAGUGACAUAUGCUCUCUUUGCAAAGAAGAAAUGUUAUGGGCUCUAUCCCACCAGCAAGGAACACCAUCACUUCUAGCAAUUCGGGCCUACUUCUAUUUUUCCUACGUAAUUUUGUGGACUAAUCAGUCAAACAGAAUAAGAUGACAACUAGAGUAGAAAUUAUCUCCGGUUCAAAAUGAAAUUCUACCACACAAUAUGUCAGGACAUCCUUGUAGAUUUUCUGCUCAAACCAAUGAAUUGUGCAAAGUUUUGCAUUUGAUGUGAAUGGCUAUUAGGCAACAUCUUUCACACGAUGAUAGGUGAUAUCGAUAUUAAACAGCAAAAAAUUACCGAUUGGAUAUCCAAUAGACACGAUGCACAUGGCAGUGUUAAUUAACUAUACAACUUCACCGCACCACCACAACAUAAACAAAGAUGACCAAAUAACUCCCUCAAGUACUAAAUCAAGAUCAAAGCCCGAUUAACGAUGUCGAUCGAGUUAAACAUGUGCCGCUUUCUCAGCGUUCAAGGGAGACCAAAAGCGUACACAUACAUAAACAAAUGAGAUCGAAAUGCCCUAAUUAAGUAAGGAGCAAUGACCUCUUUGUAGAAGCUAACAUAGAGCUAGGUAAUCGUGGCUCAUGGUGAAUGGAAGGGACACUGCUUGUUUCACCCCUCCCCAUGCUCUGCCUUGGUAGUUGGAUCCCACAGGUCAGAUCGGCUAUCAAAUAUCGCCAAAGAAGAAAGAAUCUACAAUGGUAUAUGUGACAUCAUAUGUCCCAAACGGUGUUUUUCUGAAGACCAGAUCCAGUGUUUUUCUUGAAGCCUAGCCUCAUUUGUAGUAGGUUUUAUUCCGUGCCGAAAUGGACUACCCAAUCAAAGAUCGACGACGACGGUCUGACAUUGCUGGGCUUCGUCGGGUUGAAAGACCCGUGCCGUCCAGAGGUCAAGGCCGCCAUUGAAGCUUGCACCAAGCGCUGGAGCCGCUAACCGCCCUCAUCGCGGGACGCGUCGGCGACCAUCUCGGCUCGUGGCGGCGUGGCCGCGCUCCUCGUGGCCUGUGCAGCCGGCACGCCGGCCUCGCAGGCCGCAGCCACGGGCGUGCUCCGGAACAUUGCCGCGUUCCGGGACCUGCUCCAGGGCGAGCGCGCGGGGGGCGGAGUGUCAGCCAGCCGAAGCGGGGCGCAGCCGGAGUGGAGGCGUGGAGGGGCGCCAUGCACAUGGGCACGGGGGAGCGGCCAUAAUGUUUAAGAAUUCGUCCGAUUAACCAGUUAACUUACCAGUUAAUCGCUACUCUUAGGAUGACCGAAUAGAAUAACACCUAUUCAUCGCGUUAAUUUGCCAUGCCGAUUAAUUGGUCAGUUAGACCAAUUAAUGAGUUGGCAUACAGAUUAAUUAGUUGCCAAUUAUUCACUACUGGCCUAUUAACUGAUGGGCAAACGAAUCCCAAAAUUUUGACACAUGAUGCCUCCCAACCCCUCUUUCUACUAAAUACCUAGGGUUUGGCCCUUCGCGCGCUUCCUCAUGCUCCUUUCGUCCCUACCUAACCUGGCUGAUGGCUAGUCGUGUUCUCACCGAUGCCAGUCUCCACACUACACCUGAAAGAUCUAGUUGCUCCGUCAUUCUGGUCGCUUGCCUCGACCCCACCCCCCUUGGACACUCCCCAUCCUCUCCCAUGGGAUGCUCCCCAAUCUCUUCCUCAAUGACGUGACACGCAAGGUACUACCAUCCUCCCCCAUACCUUACAUGAGAAUCCACGGAUAUCGGCGGCAUGGCGCUGUGGGGACUCGGCGUCCGAUGCGUGGAGAUGGACUCGCGCAGGAGGAGGUAGCUAUCUGGCGUCAUGGUGACGUCAAUGGCAGAGUGGCUACACAAGGUAGAAGCCUCAAUAUUUGCUCUGAAGACGGACCGGUGGAAGAUGACGGCGAUAGCACACGAGUGCGUCAGAUCGGUUUUGUGCCCUAGACCCGGUAUGUGGCAGAUGGCUUGACCGGAUCUGCUGGGGCUUCCGACUUUUGAUGUUAGGCUUAGGUAAGUGAUCUGGUUAUGUGGCCCAGCUAGCACCCCUUCAUCAUAUGGAUAGGAGUAGCGACAGAUGUUGCGAAGAUGGCGGAUUCAGACAUAUUGUUGUAAUACUUUGUAAGGUCCUCGAGAAUAAUAAAUAAAAUGGCCGCAUGCAUCUCCCUGAUGCAGAGGCCGGGGGUCAUCCUCCUUUUCUAAAAAAAAAUAAAAAAAUAUAUAUAUUAGUAGAUUAUGAAUUAUAAUUUUGUGAAUGGAUGGAUGGAACUGUUGGUUUUGGUUGUUAUCUGUCGUAUAUUAUGUGAUGUAUGUUAGCAAGUAUAUGGAUAAAUUUAAAUGUUUAAUUGCUCAUUUUGAAUUUUGAGAUUUUAUAUAUUUAGAUGUAUAAUGAUUAUUAAUUUUACCUCUUAUCUAUUUUUUAUAUGCCUAUAAUAGAAUAUUUUGGUAUAUUAGAUAGCUAGGUGCAUAGAAUUAUGGUAUGAUACAUAAAAAAUUUAGAUAUAAGUUGGCAAGUUUCUGUUUAAUCUACCGAUUAAUCCAGUUAAUAGGCCGAUUCACCGUUUAGUCGCUACUCUCAAGCCGACCGAGCAGCUACCAGUUACCGAUUUUUAAACAAUGGCUGGCGUACACAGACUGACAUGCGGGCCCGGGAAGUCAGUAAAACGGUUAAAAACGUUAAAUCGGGCAGUUAAAACUUUUGAUAGUUUUUUCCCAUUGAUUAUGAAGAUUUUGAUAGUUUUUCGCAUAAAAUAGUAUUGCGGUAGCUACUGGACACGGUUGCGCGAAUUGUGGUAGUUUUUGACAAUUUACUUAAUUUGUGGAUUUACACCGCCAGCCGAUGUGCCAAAAGAAAACAAAUCUGAUACAAACUGUCAAUAAAUAAGAAAAAAAUACCCCACCCUAAUUCAAAAUGAAAUCUCCUUUUAAGGACAUUUUUGUUUUUUUUUCUUACACUAAAAUGAAUGAUUCACACAUAGCUUUAGCUACACAUUUUACGGCGAAUGACGAUUACAAAAACAUCUUAUCAGCGAUGAUAGGUGAGAUCUACAUCGAACCACGAAGACUACCACUCGAACAUCCAACAAAUACAUCACACAUGCUGGUGUUAACAUACCAACCUCACCACAAGAUAAAACAAGGAUGACAAACAAACUCACACAAGUUGGAAUACAUAAGGCGCAACCAAAUCAAGAUCGAGGCCUAAUUAACCACUUUCUUGGAGUUCGAAGGAGGCCAAAAGUGUACCCACAUAAUGUAAACAAAUGAGACCGAGAUGCCCCAAUUAAGCAAGGGGCAGUGGCCUAUUUGUGGAAGCUAAGCCAGGGGUACAACGUAACAGUGGCUCAUGGCGUACAGAAGAGACACUUGUGGCUUCACCCCUGCCCAUAAAACGCCUCUUGCGUUCUUAAUCUGACCCCUAAUAUAACCCAUGCAUCAAGCUUGCGUUCAAACCUCAAGCCAAUUCUUUAUACAUAAAUGGACCACAAGCCAGUAGUUUAUUGGAGAAUUCUACAGUAUGUGUGUGCAACUGAAUAGAGAUGAUUUGCAUUGUUGACUCAGGGUUAACUUAAUCUAAUUAGCUUCUGUGUGUACAGAAGAAAGAGAAGGUCAAACCCCAACGUGCCAGGAAAUUUGGUUGGUUACUUACGUAGUACCAUGAAUUUUCUUAAUACCCUGAUACUACUUAGUUGUGGCUUGUGAUCAGAAUUAUACAAGUUCCCUAUACAUAAUAGUAUAUUCAAAAAACGGAGAGCAUCCUAUGAAAGCAAUCAUUCGUGGUCCAACGGAUACCAUUUUUCUCCACUUUGUUCCCUUGCUGUAGAGAGAAAACAACCCAUCAAAAUACAGUGCAUGAUUAAUCACAAGCAACACGAAAACCAUAUCAUACUUGAUCAUGCAUUCCAUCGCCCCGUCCCAUAAAAUUGGAACCGCAAAGAAGAACCCGCGGAACAAGUUCCUCGAUAAUCCGCGUCUCUUUCUUCGCUAACAUCAUUCUUAUAUUUUCCGUCUAACGCGAUAAAAUUGAAACGAUACAGAGAGGAACCCGCGGAACAGUUCUUCGACGGUUUGCGUCGCUUUCUCUGCCUCUUUCCACAGCAUCUCCCCCCUGUCCACGCCGCGCGCCUAUUUGCGUACAUCUGUGCGUGUAUGAUUGGCCAAGGUCCCAAAGGGAGGCAUAAAAGGAUUGCUGUUGCGUCGCUUGAAAUCAAAGCUAGGCCGUUGUUGAAUUGUUACCCUUUCCAUAAAAAUAUAUUCUUUCUCGGGUUGCAGAUCUUGACGUCUCUGUGAUGAGCUAGCCAAGCUAGCUAGCUUGCUCAUGGUCAGAUUCAGAAGGAGGCUCCCGUCCCCUGUUUCGGCCGUGCCUCCGUGGUUUUUUAAUGGCUCCUGCUCCUGCUUUCGUGGCGAUCUCAUCUGGUCAUCUGGACAUCUGGUCAUGUUGUGCAGUCAAGCAAGCAUCUGCCAUGAAUGGGAUUAGAAAAUUUGUGAAGUCUAGCAGAAGAAUAUGCCAGCUCUGUUCUGAUGCUAAUUGAGCUGUAGUGGUUGUGAGUAAAUUAUAUGGUGAAGUACUCUCAGGAGAAUGGAAAAAGCUAUCAGGAGUCAGGAGACCACUUCAAGUCAAGAAUGGCAAGAAAUUAAUCCUACCAGUACUUCAUAUAUUUUUUCCUCCCUCGAUACACAAAAUGAUGAAAUUUACUUGCCUAAACUGUUGACUUAGGCUAAUCUCCACUUGUUUUUCUUCUCCUUCUCUUUUAUGGGGGAAAGUUUACGCCCGGCCUCUGCACCAACAACGAGGGAUGAACACAACCACUCGUUCCCUCCUUUCGCUUUCGAGAAGGAGAAAGAGAUGCCACUCGUGGAGAUCCAGGGAAUGAAGCAUGCAAAGCAGAGGCGCAAGCCGUAAUUUUCAGAAUUUAGUCAAUAGCAGCUGCAGAGCACUUUGUGUGGCAGCGACGCAAACAGAACUUCGGCGUAGGACUGCACCCGUUUCAAGGCCUUAAUUUCGACAUAUGCUCCAAAGACAAGCUAGUAGAGUAGAAUCAGCUGUUGGUCGAAGUUAUGUCGGCCAGAUCGAUGUGAAUUCUAGCAAAGGAAACCCAAGAAGAGGGCCAAAAGUUUCCUCUUUCAUGUGAUGAACAUGCAUGAGAACAACAAGACUAGCUAGUCCAUAAAGGAAUCCAACAUGCGCCUUUGAUUGUUCUCUUGUAUGUGUGUUUAUGUUGGACAAAAUAUUCACAUGACAAUUUGCAAGUAUUUCUCAAAAAAAUCUGUAAAUAAUACCUGCACACAAUCAACGUAACAAGAUUAUCAGUACUUUCGUAGAAAAAAUCAGACAUGCUCUAUUAAAUAUAGUACAAGUUAUGGCAUUUUUUUAGAACGGAUGGAGUAGUUUGCAAGUGCACUUCCAAGGCUUUUUAAAACAACGAAAAAUCGAUGCUCCAUGACGGAGAUAAUUUAACAUGAAGUGUUAAAGACCAGACUAAUUCAUCAGAUGGUGUGAACCAGCAACAACUUUAAUCUUUUGCCGACGUUAAUUAACUAAGGCAGUGGAUCGAAGUCGACCGACGAGUAAACCAGGUAGAAGCAAACAAGGGUGACACCAGCUGCUGCUACAUGUUAAAGACGAAGGAGGAGAAAGCAACGUGUUAAUUUGCAUCCCAUACCAUAAAACAAUGACCGCCCAACGCCUCGUCGACCACAGCAAACUAAUCAUGCACACGCUUUACCAAACGGCUGAUAGCAACGUCAAAACGUGCCCGCCUUCCCCAAUCGCCAUUGCUAUGCUAACUGGCCUAAGCUAUGUGGCUACUUCUGCUUGUCAACGGCGACCAAUCAUGGCCACAAAGUACAGCAAUGCCACAACCCCACCACUUGCAACCCUCAACCCCCCCAACUAAUCAUCACCAAGAACUCCACAACUUAAGCACCCAAAUCCGAACACCUUAGGAGUCAAUGAGUGAUUGUUACAUACCAUCAUUUGUUUAUAGUUAACUAAGCACAUAGCUAACUGAUGAGCUUAUCGACAAUAGGGUUUAGGAAGACCGCUUUCGACCAGUGGCUGGCAAUCUUGGCCCACAUACGCGGGGUAGCAAGGCUCUUGACUUCUUGAGCCUAAAUUGGCAUAUUCGAUGUUUGGUCCCAACGUCGUCUCAUACGCGGAAGGCGUUUAUUUAGUGUAAGUGAUUUGUUUACAUUUGCCCUCGCUUUUCUCAUAACCCAAUAGUCAGAUUUGCCACUCAAACAUGUGUAUCUACACAAGGAGAGAGAGAGAGAGUAGAGGACACCACAAUUGCAUCCAAAUUUGAGAGAGCCAAAAUAUGUAAAAAAAAGUUAUAGCAUGCAAGAUUAACUAGAAAACACCACAAUUGCAUCCAAAUUCACAUAAAUCCAACACUUUGCAUAUGUUUUCACAAAGGACCUCCGGCUCAACUUUACCUUUUGCAGAAACCAUUGAUGCCUCUCUAAAACUUGAUGGUACUCGCUUCUUUUAAAAAAAGAGCGUGCAAUAGUUUUCUUAAAAGUCAAAGCUUCGCAAGCUUUGACCAAGUUAAUAAAGAAAAAAUAUAUCCAUGACGAGUCUAAUGGUAUACAUUUGAUAUUCUAGAUGUUUUUAUUUUUUUUCCAUGAACUACACCAAAGUUUUACAAAGUUUAACUAUGAAAAAUAACAAUCUAAUAUGCCCUCAGGAUGGAUGGAUUAGCAAAUAUGCAAGCGCAUCCACAGCCGAUCCCCUCAAAUUAACCCGGUAGACGCCCCGAUCACUAAACGGACAUGAGAGAGAAGGAAAAAAACCGACCCGAUCAGAUCCCUUGUUUUGUCCUCAUAUACAUGUCCGAGUAUAUGUAAAACCUCAUACUCAGCCCAUAGGCAGGGGUCAUAUGAGGAGCGUCCGGUCUUGUCUGUCAGGUCAGUUCCCACAUAGGAUUUGACUCAUCGUAGACCAUAUUUUCUCUUACUUUAUUCUUUUUUCAUUUUCUUUCUUUUCGUCUCGCUAAUCAUAUGCAUGUGACUAGACAUAUAGAGAGAGAAAAAAUGAGGUCAUGGCUACACGCAUUGAUACAUAAGGGCUUAAAACCGAACGCACACGAGACUGAGUAAACUUGUCCGCGGAUGUUUGAGGGUCAAUUUUGCCCAGCCCGUUCUACAUAGUAUUAUUUUUGCAUAAACAUAGAAACCUUGUUUACAAUCUACUCCCUUCACUCCUAAAUAUAAGUCUUUUAAAAACAUCCAUUAAAAAACUAUAUACAAAGCAAAAUGAGUGCAUCUACAAUCUAAAGUUUGUAUAUAUACAUUCAUAUAUAGUCUUUUAGUGAAACCUUAAAAAGGCUCGUAGUAUUUAGGAAUGAAGGGAGUACUAAAAGACGGUGUAUCUAUUUUACCCCCACCCAAAAAAAAAAGACGGUGUAUUUAAUGAGAUGAGAAGAAAAUGAGCCCAAGCAAGUGAAUGUUUCUGGCAGGCGCUAGUGCGGGGUGAAAAGCAAGAUCGAUUCCCCUGGUGGCUAGAGAGGACGCUGCUUGCUAUUUGCCUCCUUUCCCUAUACGGGUAUAUAUACACCAGGAAAAGUCGGCCACGACCUCCACCCAAUCACCAGCUGACACUCUCCCCUCCCCCAUUUCCUCUCCCCUUGCCCGCGGAGAUCCAUCCCCCUCUUUUCCAGCUCCUGCUCAGGCGAGACACACACACACACACACACAGAGAGAAGCUCGCCGGCGAGGAAGCUGAGACCGAGUACAGCAGCCCCAGCAAGCAAGGACCGACGGAGGGAGGCCGCCUUUUUCCUUCGUCCUCCAGCCCAUCCACCAGGGGAUCGGCAGGAGGUCAGUGGUUUCCUCGAUUCCCUCUUCUCGCCCCCCCACGUGUUCUUCGGCCGCCGUGCCGGUCGCGAAAUUUCGCUCCUUUUCCUGCCGAAUUCGCAGGAGGUGGGCGUCAAUUUAGCUUUCGGGCGGGGUGAUUCCGGGUUCCGGUUGGUUGGUGUUCAUUCCGGGGGCGUGGUGGUAGCACUGCCGUUCUUGAAGACGAAUCCCGGCCCUGCUGCUUGCUCGUCAAUCGUGUCCUACAGCCACAAAGAUGAAAGAUUCCGUCGGCGGCCGGCCUUUUCCCCCCCAAAUCUCCCCGCCAAUUCCAUGCCCGCCUUAUCCGAUUCACAUCGGAGAUCAGAGGGGGAUCAGUCGUCUUGCCAACCAACAAAAUCUUGAGCUUGUGCACUGUCGUCCGAAUCCCAGCUUCUUUUUUUGUUAGAUGCCCAGCGAUAACCAAUCGCACCUCUGUAGCUGAAGCUGUGUGAUUUUUCUUCUCCUUCUUGCAGGUGAGGUGAGCGGAGCUGAGCGGCGAUGAUGACGAGGGAGUCGUGGAUGGAGGUGCUGCCGCCGACGGCGAUGGGCCACUACGUCGGGCCGCGGGGCUGGUUCGCGCCGCCGCCGCGGGCAUGGACGGCCGACGAGAACAAGCAGUUCGAGCGGGCGCUGGCCGGGCUCGACCUGCGCCGCCCGGACUGGGACAAGGUGGCGCACGCCACCGGCAAGACGGUCGUCGAGGUCAUGGACCACUUCAAGAGCCUCGAGCUCGACGUCCGCCAGAUCGAGUCCGGCAUGGUGCCCUUCCCCGGCUACGGCCCCGGCGCCGGCGGCGGUGGACCGGCGGCCGCCUUCACCCUGCAGUGGGACGGCAGCGGGGGCCACGCCGGGGCCGGGGACUUCCGGCACGGGUACCGGUUCGGCGGCUGCGGCGGCGGGAGGCGGCACGGCGGCCGCACGCCGGAGCAGGAGAGGAAGAAGGGGGUGCCGUGGACCGAGGACGAGCACAAGUGAGUAGUACUAGUACCACCACCGCGAUUCUUGACUGCAACUCCAUGUGAGAGUGAUUGCUCUGCUCCAUCCAUGUCAUGCACAAGUCUAGUUUUAGCGAUAUCAAUUUUCUUUCUUGAAUUCACCAUCAAUCAACAGGCUUUACAUCAUCAGAUGGCUAUGCCGGCAUUUAAAACUUGCCAAAUCGGAAGAAUAGUUCACUUCAACCAUGGAGGAACAAGAACCGCUAUCUGAAACUGAAUUAAUUGUCUUUGCUCACUAGGAACUGAUGAGACAGUCACAUGUAGCAUGAUGUGUGAUGGUGUCUUGUAGCCUGAUGUAGAACAAGAAUUCAUGAUCCAUACUAGUUGCUGAGGCUGAUCAUGCUUUGUUCUUUGGUGUCAUGUAGCCUGAUGUAGAGCUGUAGUUCAUGAUCAAUACUACUGGUUGCUGAAGCUGAUCAUAUGCCUAUGUUCUUCUGUCCAGGUUGUUCCUCCUAGGCCUGAAGAAGUACGGCAAAGGGGACUGGAGGAACAUUUCGCGCAACUUCGUGCAGACGAGGACGCCGACGCAGGUGGCCAGCCACGCGCAGAAGUACUUCAUCAGGCUCAGCUCCGGUGGAGGCAAGGACAAGAGGAGGUCGAGCAUCCACGACAUCACCACGGUGCACCUGACCGACGACCAGCCUCCCUCGCCGUCCCAGUCAUCCAUGAUCACCCAGUCCAGCGCACCGGCUCCGAGCUCAGCAACAGGGCAGUUCUCGCUGCCACCCGACACCAAGCAGCACGGCGGAGCGAAUGCGCCAUACAACUCGCCGAGCCGGACGAUGGGGAUGCCGAGCUAUGGCAUGGGUUUGCAAGAUCAGGGUCUUCAGUGUGGUCCUCUACAUGAUCAGCUGGCCGCGAACCGGAGUAUGUUGUAUUAGAAGAUGCAACCGUUCGAUCCAUUUCAACGAAAACCGACCAGAAGCCUAGUGUAAUAUGGCCUUUGCUGUAGCUUCACUGCCUGUAUUAUUAUUGGAGUAAGUAAUUGAUUAUGGGGAUUUUUCAGAACAUAGCAGAGAGAGAGGUAUGAUGCUGGUGAUGCUUGGUACUAGUCCAUAAUUUCUGGUGUGGAUACUGAGAAUGUAAGGGAAAAGAUUGUCAAGAACCUGCUUGAUGCUGUAGUAUCUUGAGACGAGCAGACAGGGAAUACUAGUGCUCAGUACUGAUCAUGCACAUUGUCAAGUGGACUUGUUUUCAAUCUUCUUGGAUCCUGCUUUCUGGUCAGCUCUCAUGUUAUUGGAAACCCUACUCCUCAUGCAACAUCUCACACAUACAUACCUAUCCACAUCUAUCAUUUAUCCAUUCAUUCAAGCAUAUAUAACCGUGCCUCGGAUGUUUACGAGUGUAAUUUUUCGGAUAAACCAAAAUGAGUUUGCAGUGAGUCACCCAGCAUWUWGUACCUGCCUUGCUCACCUGGUYACCAACUUUUUAACUGAUUGCAUCUCCAUCUUUUUCCAACCUUGUGGAUUGACCGUUGCAUUGUUUGUGUGCAAUUAGGUCCUUUAAAAAAACAGGAAAAUAUUCUCUUGUAUAGAUCUCUACUACUACUAAUACUGAUGAUGAUGAUGCUGGAUCCACCAAGCAAUGGAAUUGAAAAUGAGUCAGACUUGCACUAGCUUUGGCAUCUCAUGCUUUGGCUGCCUCCUUUUUCCAUCAACUUCUGCAAAAUCUUUCCCUGCCUCCUUUUUGGCCCUGUUCAUCUUUCCCUCAUUGAGAAAAGGCAGAGCAUCCACAGAUAUGAGGCAGAUCCCUCCCUCUCCCCGUGACAAGCAGUAGAGAAUGGCACAAAACGUUUUGUUUUUUGGCCAACUUGUGUGCUGGGUGCUUGUGCUUUUCUGCCUUACCUUUUCUGCAAGUUGCAGUGCAGAGACACAAAACCACUCACUCAGCUCAGCUCAGCUCACCUCUCUGAUGAGGAUGGUGAUGGUGAUGAUCAUGAUGGAGGUGAGGCACUGUUGUGUUGUGUGUCAUUAGAAGCUUCUGGGUGUGAUGGAUGUGGUUGCUGCUGCUUCAAGCAGCAUUUCUUCAGGCUUGUUGCCUUUCCUUGUCACAUGUAUGUUACCAUUCUUUUCUUUCUGAUGUAGUAUCAUGUAGCAAUGCAUUCUUUUCCAAAUUAUCGAUAGAGACAUGACCAAUCAGAGUGCAAAUCAUGGUUUACGUCGACGAUAUUCUUACCAUGAAACAUGUGUUUCCGUUACUUUUGCUGUCAAUUUUAAACGGCUUCAGCCUCACGGAGACGGGGGCGGAUCGGUAAACCCCCGUGCCUCUGGGUCUUGACAAUCUGAGGUGACUUUUAACAGCUUAACUUGCGUCUGCACAUAGUUUUUGACGUUUGUAUUUGACAACAAAAGCAAUCCUUUUCUACACAGGAUAAAAAAGCUCACUCUUAUUUCUGAACCCGAAGACGAGAGCCUUACAAGGAAACAAAUCUACAGUAAUGGUUAAAGUGUCAGACCGAUGAACCAUGCGCAUCCAGGAAACAGAAAGUUGGUGAGCUUUGUGAUGCGUUGCACAUCUGGCAACAAUGCAGCAACCAGGAUCUGAGAUGAACCGGAACUCAUCAGGAAGGACAGAUGGGUAGGCAGGCAGGAAUCAGUACUGUGGCAUUCCAAGAAUGGAAAGGCCUCGAUGACUCUGAUGAACAUGAUGAUCAUGAUCUGUAACUAACUAACUAACUAACUAACUAACGCGGCUCACCAAAUGGACGGCAUCAAAUGUCCGCGGACACAUUUCUGGAUUAAUUUUUACCCAGCAAAAUCUUUACGACGGAUGCCUAUUUGGCAUCAUGGCCGUGCUGCUGUUACCAUAUAACAUGUGUUUCCGUUAACUGUUUUCUUGUCAUUCACAAAAUGCGGAAACAUCAUUCUGACACUGUAACACAGGAUCCAGAUCACGAAAUUGCAUUUCAAUUAUUUGCGAAAGGAUAUCAAUUGCUAGAACCCUCGAUAAAAGAAAGAGAUGCUGUGUAUGAAUCACGAAACAUCAACUUCUUCUUCUUUUUUUCCAGCCGGUGCGUUGCCAGGAGGAUUAGUUCUGGAAAAAAAAAAGAAGUUGGUGAAGUUUCCGACGACAGACAAGUUGCACUGCACAACCUGCUGGCAACGCUGCUGUACUACAGCAACCAGUAUCUGAAUCAGAUGGGCAGCAGAGCAGGCAAUGUGAAAGCACUCAUCAGGGAUUGGAGACAGAUGGGUAGGUACGCAGGCAGGAGGCAGUAACGGUAGCACUCCUGGUGUAGAAAGUCAUCAAUCACUCUGAUGAACAUGACGAUUUUGAUCUCAAACCAACUAGUAAUAAUUAACUGAAUUGCCAAGGACAUCCAGUUCCCGACUGAAUCAAGUAGCACUGCAGCAUUGAAAGAAGUGGCCGAAAGAGGCUAAAUAUAGCAGCAGCAGCAGCAUUGAAAUUAUUGGUACUAGUGCGAAAUAGCUGCACUGGCAUUCAGGUCGAGUUGUUUCGCCGAAAAGAUUCAGGUUGAGUUCAGCGGGAACGAAAGAGGCUUGAUUCUUUCGGCAUCAAUCGUCGACGAAUCGGAGAAGAACAAAUGGCAUGGUUUGUUGAUUGAUUGAGCAGAGGUUGGAUCUGGUUCGGGCGGAGGCGUCGGCAGGGGACCUGCAUGCUGCCGGAAUGGGGCAGGCAACUUGGCCGGCCAUCUUGUUGGCUCCUCCUGCAACUGCAAACCGCGCCAAGGCACUGAUGGAAGUUGGUCGUGGUGAAAGGUGCUGCUGCCGUUCGUCGUCGCCGUCGCCGUCGCCGUCGCCGUGCGAAUCACAAGUGCGGCGACAGGCCAUGUGCGGUGCGGGGCAGAGGCAGGCGAAUGGACGGACGGAGGAUUCAUCACACUUGUUUGCGUGCGUGUGCCACACCCACACGGGGUGAGGAGGUUCAGCAGACUUUCAUCUUUUUCUUCUUAUUCUUCUUCUUCUUAGUUUAACUAGCAAACGUGCCCGUACGUUGCAACGGAAAAAGAGAAAACAUCCCUAAUAUAUCCUAGAAAAAUAACCUCAUACACACCCGACGCAUCAACAAAUCCCUUCAAAUGUUUCACAAUGUCAUACGUGAAACAACAUGAUAAGUGAUGUUGUGCGAAGACAUAAAGGUUGGAUAAUUUAUAAUUCUAUUAAUUAGUGUAUUAAGUGUGUGUGUAAUUUAUUAGACAUAAAAAAUAAUUGUCCUUUUCAAAAUAUAAUAGUGUAUCUUAAACAUAAUUUUAAAAAUAAUUAACAUGCGGGGUAAUAGCAUAUUUAGAAUCUACCUAUUUUCUGAAGAAUUUUUAUAUAUAAUAUGAUUUUUUUAGGAUUGGAAUCUGUGAAAAGAAAAAGAAAGAUUAAAACUAUAGUAGGUGGGCCGAAACUGUAAAAAAGGGAGUAACCGGAUUCAAACUUGGGUCUCAUAAGUAGAGACGUAAGACUGGAGCCACUGCGCUACCUUACUGCCUCUGAAACUUUGCCUUCAAUCCCAUAACACAAAUCCGACAACUACAUAAGCAGGAGGCCGCGGGCGAGCGGCGACGGCGUGGACGGCAGGUUGAUUUCGGGAAAGUACAAUGGGUUUUCUGUAAAAUUACAAAAAACGAUUCGUUUUCUCACUUAAAUCCGGACUGCGGGUUGAUUUCAGGGAACUACAGGGGGUUUUCCCGUGCGUUGCAACGGGAAAAACAUAAUUUUAAAUGGUCAUAGCCAUAUUUUGUUGUAUCAUCGACAUACACUAUCACUCCUAAUUUCAUGAAAUCAUGAAGAAUUUUUGAAAUCAUGACGAGUUUUUAAAACUCGUGCACAUGUUUGAAGCAAUGAAAAAUUUCAAAUUCAUGAACACCUAUACAAAUUUUUGAAUACUUUCUAAAAUCAAGAACAUUUUUGAAUUCAUGAACAUUUUAUACUAUUUGCAAACAUUUAAAAAAUAAGUAUGGACAUAAACAAUCAGAUUAAAAAAAGAUGAGUCAUCUUCAACUCCAAAUAAAAAAAAUAGACUUGUGCAUAGUUUGAAGAGCAAACAUAUUUUUUCUUAGAAGGAAAAGAGUAAACACAUGUGUGAUGCAGCCACGCUAGCUAGUUAACAUGUCGGCUGGCUAGAAGAAACCAGCAGCCUGGCUCGUGCUCGCUCAUAGUCUUAUCUUCGUCGUUUACUUUUCUAAUAUUCCACGAAGCCUUCCACAUCCCGACACUGAGAUGGGCAGCCCCUGCCUCUUCGAUCACGCCCUGUCCCCUACCCUACCAAGCUCUAGCACGGACGGGAUCACCCCUCCCUUCCAUUCGGGACGGCAUCCCCAUGCCGUGGUGGUGGAGCCCCUCCUCCCCGGUUAGUGGCUGGAGGCGACGGGGCCUGCAGGCUAUGGCUUCUUCCUCUCCUCGCGCGCCCCCUUGGCCUGAUUUCGCUCGCCCCCACCCAAUUAUGCAUCGAUGCCGCCUUGGUCCGGCACGUCGAAGCCAGCGGCCAGCCAGGGUUGCUCCCCUCCGGCAUCUCCUUUUCCCCUAGCCUCCUCUUUCUAGUGGCUCAACCUUCGUUAGUUGGACAACACGAGUGAGCUUAGCCAUUUUAAAUGUCACCAAUCAAACAUAUGAAACGUGUAUUCUCUUAAACUGUGCCACUGUGGCACUACAAAACUAAAAAAAAUGGGUCUUCUCAAACUUGCUAUAUCCACCACCCAAUUAUCGAUUUGCCCACUCUAUUAAGGAAGUAGAAUAGUUGGCACAUAUCCAAGCAGUAUGCUCUACGUUGUCCUUACUAUUAGGAGGACCAGCAUGAUUGCAGGCCAGAUCGACGCUUACAAAAGUACUUGGUUUUCGUCCGCAUAUCGAAAGUGGAAUUAAUCAUUUGUGCAAAACAUAAACUCAAAGCUAGCUAGCUGUUCGCUUCUUCGGGCGCGGUAAAAACAUGGCAUUGCUUAUGAACAACUGCCAAUUCUGCAAAAUUGUCUGAACUUACGGUUGUCAACAUCAAGCCAAGAAGGUAUCGCGUGCCACUCGGUCCAAUCUUCUUGAGCAUGAUAGCAGCCAAGAAAUGCAAAGAUUUCAGCGUGCUCUUCCUCCGCUUCGUCGUCCCGGCCAACCGGCCAUCCGUGCCGUUGUGACCCAGCCUCUCCCCAUUCCUGCCCAAUGCAUCGUCACCAUCAUUGGCAGCGGCCUCCGGACGGCCUCUCCUCCUUUGGCCUCGGCCCGACCGCGCGUACGCCAACGCCCCGCCGACGACCAGCGCGCCGGAGACAACCGCCAGCGUCCUCGUGCCUCCACCCAAAAUCGACAACCAUCAAGAUUCCAAAUAUCGGUUAGAAAGGACGAGACUUUGGUGUUGGAAAGCCACGCCAUCUGGUGCAGUCGGGCUCCGGGCUCACGAUCUGGCUAGCUACAAAGCCGGAUGUACAUUGAGGCUGUUAGUGCAUUGAGGUGAGCUGCGUACGUGUGUAUAGGGAGACUGAGUCGGGGUUAGUUGGCAUCGUGGCGUGGGUAGCACAAGGAUGGAGUACGUGCUCUAGUGGGUGUGUGUUCCCGGCCUAUAAAAGCCAUUGUACUCCUCAAUUGUAAUGGUGAGCCGUGAUGUAGCCUGUGAAUACAACAAAGGAUUGGGGUGUUCGUGCGCCCACGGCGGCGUUCGUGUGCCGGCCCGGAAAAUCUUGUGUCUUGUGUCUUCUUCUACCUCUAGCCGAGAGUGAGGGAGGGUUGCGGUUCCAACAUUUGGUAUCAUGAGCUUGAUGGUCUUGGGCAUGUUCGCCAUGCCGGAGGCGUGCCAGCGAUGGCGGCAUUCGUCGGCGGCUGCGCGGAGCUCCGAGCCGUGUGUCGGCCUGUGAAGGUGCGCGGCGCGGCGGCUGUCAUGGCGGAUGCGGAGGUGGCGCGCGGUGAGUCCGCGACGAGCACGGCGGACAUGGAGGUCGAGGCGGCGCAACCGGUGCGUGUUAUGGGUGCGCACUGGACGCGUCGGGCGCGUCAGGACCGCGGGAGUGGACUGCGUCGGGGCGCUGGACCUGGUCGCGCAGAUCGCGUACGUGCGCGGCGGGAGCGCGGGCCAGGAGCGCGGGGACGUGGGGAGUGCGCGCGAAGAGCAAGGCGGUCGCGGAGACGAGGAUGUCGCGAAGGACCUGCGUGGUGGCACAGAGGUCGCGGCGCCUCGGCGCGACAACCGCGGUGGCGCGCCGCGCGCCACGGAGACGCAGCGGAGGAGUCCACGGCGCCGAGACGACGUCGACGAGGCAGGGCUCCUGUCGGCAGGCCGUGCAGCGACGUCGUGGCUUAGGGGGAGUGUGUUGGAAUAAGCCACGGCAUCUAGUGCAGUCGGGCUCCGGGCUCACGAUCGGAUGACCGGAUCACCAGGGAGAGUCCGUGGCUGCUACGUCUUGGCUAGCUACAAAGCCGGAUGUAUAUUGAGGCUGUUAGUGCAUGCAGGUGAGCUGCGUAGGUGUGUAUAGGGAGACUGAGUCGGAGUUAGUUGGCAUCGUGGCGUGGGUAGCGCAAGGAUGGAGUACGUUCUCUAGUGGGUGUGUGUUCCCGGCCUAUAAAAGCCAUUGUACUCCUCAGUUGUAAUGGUGAGCCGUGAUGUAGCCUGUGAAUACAACAAAGCAUUGGGGUGUUCGUGCGCCCACGGCGGCGUUCGUGCGCCGGCCCGGAAAAUCUUGUGUCUUGUGUCUUCUUCUACCUCUAGCCGAGAGUGAGGGAGGGCUGCGGUUCCAACAUUUGGAGCCGAGCACGCGCGCAUCUCCGGGACGCGAGCAGCCCGCGGCCACGCUCGGUGAGCUGAGCAGCUGCAGGGACGGCAUCCCUCCCGCCGCCGCCGGUGCCACGAGGCGCGACCUUCCGGGAGCAGCAGGCCAGGCGCACGGCCCGAGGGGGAGAAGAUCUUGUAUGCGCACGACACCUCCGGCGGCGACAUCGCCCUCCUUCAUCGGUUCGCGGAGCUCGGCUGCAAAGACCGGCGAGCGGGCCGCGAGCACGCACCCGUGCGCGGAGACCGUCUCGCCGCCGACCUCGAACACCACAUCGGCGUCCUUCUCGGUCUCGAGGAGCUCUCCCAGGUGCCGGCCCAGGUCGCACGGGGGGCACGGAGACCAAGCCGGUGGUGUACACGGCGCGGAAAUCCUGGACGACGGCGAUGUCGCACCGGAUGGUGAACGAGUCGUUCCUGAGAUGCUCAGAUGCCUCCAGGUCCGUCCUUUUGAUGAACUGCGCCGCGCAGGCCGACAAGCUUCCCGGGGUAUAGCUUCUCACCUUCUCCAGCGAGAGCAACUCAACUUGCUCCGCUUCAGUCCCCGCCUCGCCGGUGAGGCAGAACAAGUGCUGCGACUUCGUACGUGUGGUGGUGGAGAACGCGAAUGGAUAAGCUACCAGUGGAGGAGGACAGGUUUUUUUUUUGCAAAAAUGAAACGUUUUUUUCCACUUAAUGUAGGACCACGGGUUGAUUAGAAAAAACAGGGGGACGUUUUUGUAAAAAUACCACGACGGACGACCAGAAACCCUAUUUGCUUUAUUAUUAUGGAGAGAUAUAUGGAGAAACUCAUUUAUGUUCUACUCCCUCUAUUUACAAAUAUAAGAUGUCUUGAAUAUUUUAAUUUAAACUAUAUAUAGAUGAAUAAACACACUAAAACGCGUCUAAUGCUCGCGCCCCUCAAGCCCCUCCUAACCCUAGGAGCCGUCGCUUUCUAAUCUCCUCACCGGCACCGGAUCGCCGCUAGACAAAGCCUGGCGGUGGAUAAUGGCGGCGGCGGGCCUUUCUCUGUCGUUGCCCUAGGGCAUGCCCGCGGCGGAUUCCCAAGUGCUCCGGCGUGUCCCUUCAUGUGUUUGGUCCCCACCACGGCGAUGAGUUUAUCGGGUGGGGGUGGCUCAGUGCUCCUUCAACCGAGGCCAGUGACCUUCGUCGUGGCCGGUGACGGUGUUGCGCAUCACGAUGGGGUGGAUUGGCAUAUCCCUCCCAUCCCUGCCCGUGAAGGUCUUGGCAAUGGAGGUGUUGUGGCGUCACGUUUGUCUUGACCGGGUCCGGCCCGAUCUGGCCUUUCGGUGGUUGCCGGUGGCAAGGAUGCGGAGGCGCGACUGGCGGUGAAAACCGAGCUGACCUCGUUCAUGGACGACGAUGGCGGCAACUUGGCAUCGUUACCUUGAUGAAGGCAUCGUCUUGUAGUUUUCGCCUCCUCGUUCGGGCUACUUCAGGGGAAAUCCAAGAUCUGGAUUUUUUGGAUCGGAAGAUGACGGCACGCACCGUCGUUCUUCCUCAUGGGGCAUCAUCUUGGAGUAAGCGUUGGUGGGGUCUGAAGGUGGAGCGGUGUGGCAUAUACCACAUCGACGAUGGCGAGUCUCGGUGGCGUGGCGCACCGAGGUCUCGCGACAGAUGCGUGAUGAUGAUCACGCGGAGGGAGGUGACGUUGUUUGGCGGCGUGGCGACGUCGACGACGGGCCAGACAAAGUGAAUGCGUUUGUAAUUGCUCUGAAGAUGGAUCAAUGAAAGACCGUGAUGAAGGCCCUUGUAACAUGUGCAUGCGAUGCCUGGUGAGAGUGCGCCGGACCGAUGUGUUUCCCAUGCCCGACAAUGCAGCUUAGUCGGGGCCGUCGGAUUUAGAAUUUAGUGUGAGGCGUGGGUAUUUUGUUUAGAUAGUGUGCACCCCUUCAUUAACUCAACAGAAGUAACGACGGAUAUUGUUUAGAUGGCAACUUAUGUAUAAACAGAAAGAGUAGUAGAGAUGAGUGGGAAACACAUGUUUCUUUUUUCCCCGCAACGUAAAACAUGUUCCUACUACUUCGGUGCAGUCAUUUAAGAGCAUCUUCAAUAGAUGGUUCAAAUUUUAAUAACGGCCACAUGGGUCAGUCCACCGGCUGCGGCGGCGGCGGAGAAGGCGGCGGGGUCGUCGCCUUCGGCCAUGGCGGCGCCGGACGGCGGGGGGCGGCAGUGGCCGGGCGGGAAGCGGGUGGGAAGACGCGGGCGGGCGGACGACAAGGGAAAUGAAGUGGCGUUUGGGCGUUCGCGGACGGCGACUAAUUUUGGACCAGAUGCACCUCGUGAUGUAAAUUUGCACCGCGAGGUGUUGCGUUUUACAUCAUGAGCAGGCCGCAGUUUUUUUUUUUGCAUAUGGACCGUCUGCUGGAGAACCGUUUUUUGCCUCAGACGGUCCAAAAGUUAAAUAUUUUUCUUUACCUAUUAAUAAAACACCUAUUGCUUCUGUGGUACGUCAUGAAAAUUGCCCCUGAAGUAUGCAUAAAUUACCCACCAUGUCACCGGUAAGUAAUAGAAAACGUUUCACAAAGCGAAAAAUCUCGGACUGGGCCGGCCUUUGUAAAAACCUCAUAUAUUACGCUCUGCAUCUGGGAGAUUAUCCAGCGCACAGUAUGGUCCGGCCCAUGCACAUGCGCCAGUUUUUUUUAGUUUCAUUUAUUUAUUUAUCUUCAGUUUCAUUUAUUUUUCUAUUUUAAAUAAUGUAGAACUUCAAAUAACCUUUAAACUUUUAAUAAACUUGAAAUUUUAAAUCAACAUAUUUAAAAAAUUAAAAUGUUUCUGACUUCAAAAACUGCUCGGAGUUUUUGUAAAAGAUGCUCGCAUAUAAAAUAAAAUGUUUGCAAGUUUGAAAAAAUGUUUGUAAAAUAAGAAAAGUCCAUGAUUUCAAAUCAAACUCCAUGUAUUAAAAAUUAUUAAAAGUAUUUAACAAAAUGCUUUCUAAUUCAAAAUAUGUUAAUGCAUUUAAAAAAUGUCCUGAAAUUCUAAAAAUAGCUAAUGCCUGUUUUGAUAGUUUCUUUUUUAUUUAAAUUUUUCCAUUCCAUUUUUUGUUUACUUCUAAUUUAAAUAAUUUAGAAUUACAAAAGCAUUUGCAUAUUAAAAAAUAGGAAUUUUGAAUUAAAAUGUUGACGAAAACAUAAAAUAUUUGUGGAUUCAAAAAAGGCGCCGGAUUUUUAUAUUUUUUUUGUAAAUCCCAAAACAAUGUCCGUGAAUUGAAUAAAUAUAUUACUGACUUAUAAAAAUGUUUGUUUAUUCAGAAAAACUUCAUGCGUUUCAAAAAUGUUUGUGAAUUUAAAAUAAAAUCCUGCAACAUCAAAAGUUAUGUUCGUAUUUUCUAGAAUUGGUCGUCAAUUCAAAAGAAAAUAUUUAAACCCGUUUGAAAUAUAAAAAAUAUUCACGAUUUUGUAAAUGUUUGUAAAUUAUAAAAAAUGUUCUCAAUUUUAAAAUUGUUCUCAUAUUUGUAAAAUUGUUCAUGAAAGAUCUAAUGUAUGUAAUUAAACAUUAAUGUUUCUAAGUCUUUAUAAAAAUAUACCCGUGUGAUUUUUAAAGAAUUAACUGUUGGAUGGAUCGGAUUAUUAUUGUAUGUUUUCUAAAAAAAAUCUUGAAAUUAAGAAUAAUUCUUUGAGUUACCAAGAUUUUUGACAACCAUGAAUUUUUUUUUUUGAAAAUGUAAAGAUUGCUUCAACUUGUGAAUAAAUUUAAAAGAAGAAACAUUUUUCUUGCAUUUGUGAAUAAAAUUUUAAAAUCAAACGAUGAUGUGUGAACAUAAUGUGUCCAUCAUAAUUGAAGAUUAUGUUUUUUUUUCCGUUACAACGCACGGGCCAUUUUGCUAAUACAUUUAAACGGAGAUGCUCUAACAACCGAUUUGGUCUCACGGGAACGCAGACAGAUAUGAACUGGCUUUAACUUGCAUGUGUGCUUGUUACUGUAGAUUCCUGUAACUUUCAGCUUAUCUUACUUGUGAAACGGUUAAAAGUGUCACACUGAUGAACCUUGUGCGUGCACCGAGGAAGGCUGGGUUCAGAUGGAAAAAGGAGAGCGGAUGAGCAGGCAGGAUUCUAAUUCGUUCUCCUCCCACAGCGUUUGAUACGUCUUAAACAUAUUUUAUUUUUAUUUUUUUAUUUUGAUUUUAUCUUUUAAUUUGUAUGAUUCUAAAAAUAAUCAAUCAUAAUUUCAGCCACCGACAUGUGGGUCGCUGCUACGCAGGCAUGCCACAUGGAUAGGAUGUAUGCCCGAAUAUGAAAGGAAGCCCGUAUUUGCACUGCCAUACAAGUUGAAGCAUGAGUUAAUGCAUUUUAUUAGUUUAAGUGUUAGAACAAGUAUAAUAAGGUACAGUCAGCAGGUUGUAAGGAUUAAAAUACUAUAUUUUUGUUGAGUUGGAUGAGAGAGAAGAGGAGAGAGAAGGGAAGGGGGUUCUUCGUGAAGAGCUAGCUCUAGCACGUGCUCCUAGAUGCUUUGUGAGAAUGAAAGAUGGACCAUAUAUGAUAAAAGUAGUACUCUUUUAUAGCUAACUAUUGUACAAGCUAACUAUAAAAUGAGCUAUAAGAUGGCUUAUAGCCAACAGUUGGCUAUACUAUUAACCAUGCUCUUAAAAUGACAGUGACGAACAAAGUUAAGGCACCCUCAAUGUACUUAACUCACCGGAAAAACAAAUCAUUUUUUGUCACUUACUGAUGACAUUGGUAGAUGAUAGUUUAAGGCCACAGAUUAAUAGUGUAUUGUUAAUGAUUUAUUUAGGGUAUGACUAUAUCUCAUCUAGAUAUGAGAUAAUAUCUCACAUCUAAGUAUUAUUGUCCCUCUUUUUGAAGCGCACUACGUAGCAUCGCCGCACGGCCGACUUCCAGUGCGGCGGCUCGCUAACCGUCCAGUUCAACACACCCACGCGAGAAAAAAGUCAUGGCAGCAUCUCCAAAUCUCCCGACCUAUUGUCUGCUACGGGUUGAAAAGCAAAUCUACAGUAGGAUUUUUUUCUUUUUUUUGCGAAAUCUACAGUAGGAUUGACUCUCAAAGAAAAAUCUGAAGCAGGGUGGGUCCUAGAGAGAUGCUACUUGUAUUAAAUGCUAGUGUACUUGCUUGAUGAUGGCGCACACUGCCCCAUCUCUUGGAAUUUUUAUAUGUGCUAGCCAACUUGCAAUGGUUUGAUGUCCAUGAAAAAGUAUCACUUGAAAAAUAGUUUCUGGCUUGAUGUCCAUGAAAAAAUAUCACUUGAAAAAUAGUUUCUCAGAGAUUUAAAUGUAUAAUUGCCAUAUUUUAGGGAUGCAUUUACCACAAAUUUAAGGUACAAUUGUCAUAUUUUCAGUUUGUGGUUUGUCAGAUAUUUGUGGUAGACUUGUCAAAGUUUCAUUGGUGUGUUUUGAUACAGUUUCCAGUUUUCUAUGGUAAUGAUCAAAUUAUUCAUGUAGCUACCACAUUGUUUUGAUAGUUACCACAAUUUUCACGUGCAACUGCCAAAUUCUUUGAUGUAGCUACCGAGUUUUCCAGAAGUAAAUUGUCAAUUUUUUUUAUGCAGCUACUAGAUUGUUUUGGUAUGGUUACCAGGUUGUUUGAAAGCAAUUGCCAAAUUUCUUGAUUUUAGUUACCAGGCUGUUUUCAUACACUUACCAACUUUUUUCGUGAGCAAUUGCCAGAUUGUUCUAUGCGACUACCAUGUUGUUUUUACAAUAAUUCCCGAUAUUUCUAGACAAUUUUUCAGGCUGUUUAAAAAUAGAGUCACUUGUUUACCAAACGGUUCUUAAAUUUGGUUGUUGUGUAUGUACUCUCGAUCAAUAGAGAUUCGUGCACAAAAGUUAGUGGCUAUCAAGUUGUCCGGCACUACUAAGCGCAUUUGUCAUAUAAGCCGUUUUAAAAAAUUUGUGUCCACCUACCAAACUGAUUACGUUGUUAUCAAGCUCAAUCAUGCAGAUUAUCACACGUUUUGUUCCAUAAAUUGUACAUGUAGCAAUACAUAUGCAAGGAUGUGUGCCCUUAGCAAAAACAUGCGAUUUUACUACUUUAUCAUGUCCCAAACUCCCAGUAAUGGACCAGUGCAUUGUACAUCAACAGCGUUGCGGGGGAGAAAAAAUAAGGCUCUUAAUCACAAGCGUCUGUGUGGAAUCGGACGUGCGCGUGCUGCCGCCGCAUGAGAAAGCAACAAUGCAGCGUGCGCAUAAUAGAUUCCCCCUACUUUGUCUUUCUAGGUUUACGUUGUCUUUGUUUUAGCUCUUUUUAAGGGAAAGUGCUCUUGUUUUAGUUGGGUGGUACAUUGUUGGUUUUUUGGGCUGUAUGAUUGCUUUUUUUACUUGUGAUGACAUGACAUGGGUUGUUUCUCUAUAAAAAGGACACACGAAAAUGACAUGUUUUGUACAUGACUAAUUUUUUUUAUUUAGAAAAUCAAGAACUAAAAAAAUGUGUCUACAAAAUUUUAAAAUAUUUGUAAUAAAAUUUUAAAAGUUGUUGAAAUUUUAAAUUUCCGUGGACCCAAAAAACUCACAAAUUUAAUGCUUGUUGUGUAUUUUGAAAAAAUAACGUUCAUCAUGCAUUUAUAAAUAAUUCAAUGUUAUUUUAAAAAAUGUCAUUGCAUACUUUAAUGCUCAAAGUUGUAUUUAAAAAUGUUCAGAGUAUUUAAACAAAUGUUGUCACCGAAAAAAUGUUCAAUGUUAUUUGAAAAAAUAUUUAUGUUAUAUUUUAAUAAAUGUUUGUCGUUCAUUAUAAAAAUAUUUUAACACUAUUAAGAAAAUGUUCACCUUGUAUUUAGGAAAUCUUUGCAACUGACAAAAAAAUGGGUCAGGCCAAGAGUUACACAUCGAGGGUGGAGUUGCAACUCGAACCAAGAUAUGUCCCAUGCCCCAAAGUUGCGUAUCUGGAGUGAACUAGCAAUUGAAAUACAAAAUGGGAGUUGCGUAUCAAGAGUGAACUUGCAACUGAGACAAAAAUAAAGACGCCCCUCGAGUUGCAUGUGAGGAGACGGAGUUGCAACUGGGACAAGAAGGGUCGGACUCCUAUUGAGUGUCGAGAAUAGACUUGGAGGUAAAAUAAAAAGUGGUUGGGUUGAGUUGCAUAUUGAGGGUGGACAUGCAACUAGAAUAAAAAAAGUGGUCCCUGGUUGCAUGUUAGGUGUGGAGUUGCAACUGGGGACAAAAAUGGCUCACUCUCCCCUCCAGCUGUGUGUCGAGGGUAUACUUGCUAAUCGGACAAAAAAGCCCCCUCCCCCCGUUGCAUGUCGGGGCUGAAGUUACAACUAGGCCAAAAAUGGUUGGGAUUUGAGUUGCGUGUCAAGGGUGGACUUGCAAUAUGGAACAAAAAUGGAUCGAACCCACUCACGUAACAAGGAUGUACUUGCAACUGGAACAAAAAGCCCCCCCCUGAAUUGCAUGUCGAGGAUGGAGUUGCAACUGUGGACAAAAAUGGAUCGCCAUACUCCCUAGUUGUGUGUCAAUGGUGGACUUGGAAUUGGGACAAACAAAUGGGCAGAGUUUAGUUGCAUAUCGAGGGUGGACUUGCAAUUGGAUCAAACAAGGGCCGCCCCCAGUUGCAUGUCGGGGAUGGAGUUGCAACUCUGGAAAAAAGGGUCGGUCCCCCAAUUACCUGUCAAGGAUGAACUUGCGACUGGAACAAAAGUGGCUUGGACUUACUUUUGUGUAUCGAGGAUGGACUUGCAACUUGGACAAAAAAUUGAUCCCCUAGUUACAUGUCAGGGAUGGAGUAAUUAUGGACAAAAAUGGAUCGCCACCCUCCUCAGUUGCGUGUCAAGGGUGGAAUUACAAUUAGGACAAAAGGUGUCACCCCUAGUUGCAUGUCGAGGAUGGAGUUGUAUCUACGACAAAAAAGAUCGGGCUAUCAAUUGCAACUGGAANGAAUUGCAUGUCGAGGAUGGAGUUGCAGCUGUGGAAAAAUGGAUCGCCAUACUCCCUAGUUGUGUGUCAAUGGUGGACUUGGAAUCGGAAAAAUAAAUGGGCAUGGUUUAGUUGCAUAUCAAGGGUGGACUUGCAAUUGGGUCAAAAAAAUGUCGCCCCUAGUUCCAUGUCGGGGAUGGAGUUGCAACUCCGAAAAAGGGUCGGUCCCCCAAUUACGUGUUGAGGAUGAACUUGCGACUAGAACAAAAGUGGCUUGGCCUUAGUUGUGUAUCGAGGGUGGACUUGCAACUAGGACAAAAGGUGGCCCCCUAGUUAUAUGUCGGGGGUGGAGUUGCAACUAUGGACAAAAAUGGAUCGCCACCCUCCUCGGUUGCGAGCCAAGGGUGGACUUGCAAUUAGGAAAAAAGGGUCACCCUAGUUGCAUGUCGGGGAUGGAGUUGCAACUACGACAAAAAGGAUCGGGCUACCAAUUGCACGUCGAAGGUGGACUUGCAACUGGAACAAUAAGUGGGUUGGGCCCGGUUGGAUAUCGAGGAUGGACUUACAAUUGGAACAAAAAAGUCGUCCCUAAUUAUAGGCCGGGGGUAGAGUUGCAACGGGGAAAAAAUGGGAUCGAACCCCUACCCUAGUUGCCUGUCGAGGGUGGGCAUAGAAUUGGAACAGUGAAUGAAUAGAGCCUAGUUCUAUAAUUCAGGUGGAGUUGCAACUGGGACAAAAAAGGUUGACACCCAAUUGCACGUUAGAGGUGGAGUUCCAGCUGGGACAAAAAAGUGUGAGCCCAAUUGCGUGUCGAGAGUGGACUUGCAACUGAGACAAAAAUAAAGACCCCUCUUGAGUUGCAUGUUAGAGGACAGAGUUGCAAAUGGGACAAGAAGGGUCGGACACCCCUUGAGUGUCGAGAAUAGACUUGCAGGCAGAACAAAACGGGUGUUUGGCCGAGUUGCAUAUCGAGGGUGGACUUGCAACUAGAAUAAAAAAAGUGGUCCCCCGGUUGCAUGUUAGGCGUGGAGUUGCAAGUGGGGACACAAAUGGAUCACUCUCCCCUCAAGCUGUGCGUCGAUGAUAGACUUGCUACUCGGACAAAAAAAAACCUCCCCCCCCCGUUGCAUGUUGGGGCUGAAGCUACAACUAGGACAAAAAAUGUCGGGAUUUCAGUUGCGUGUCAAGGGUGGACUUUCAAUCUGAAACAAAAAUAGAUCGAGCUCGGUUGCAUAACAAGGAUGGACUUGCUACUAGAACAAAAAAGCCCCCCCCCCCAAUUGCAUGUCGGGGAUGGAGUUGCAACUGUGGACAAAAAUGUAUCGUCACACUGCCUAGUUGCGUGUCAAUGGUGAACUUGGAAUUGGGAGAAAAUAUGGGCAUGGUUUAGUUGCAUAUCGAGGGUGAACUUGCAAUUUGGUCAAAGAAAGGUCACCCCAAUUGCAUGUUAGGGAUGGAGUUGCAACUGCGGAAAAAGGGUCGGUCCCCCAAUUGCGUGUCGAGGAUGGACUUGCAACUAGAACAAAAGUGGCUUGGGAAUGGUUGUGUAUCGAGGGUGGACUUUCAACUAGGACAAAAAAGUGGUCCCCCAGUUGCAUGUUGGGGGUGGAGUUGCGACUAUGGACAAAAAUGGAUCGCCACCCUCCUUAUUUGCGUGUCAAGGGUGGACUUGCAAUUGGUACAAAAAAGGGUCGCCAGUAGUUGGACGUCGGGGAUGGAGUUGCAACUGCGAGAAAAAGGGUCGUGCCAUCAAUUGCGUGUCGAAGAUGGAUUUGCAACUGGAACACAAGUGGGUUGGAAUCAGUUGGAUAUCGAGGAUGGACUUACAAUUGAAACAAAAAAGUCAUCCUCAAUUGUAGGCCGGGGGUAGAGUUGCAACGAGGACAAAAAUGGAUCGACCCUCUCCCCUAGUUACAUAUCGAGGGUGGACAUAGAAUUGGAACAAUAUGUGGAUAGAGCCUAACUGUGUAAUGUGGGUGGACUUACAACUGGAACAAAAAAGGGUCGACAUCCAAUUGCAUGUUAGAGGUGGAGUUCCAAUUGGGUCGGGCCAAUUGUGUAUCGAGGAUGGACAUGCACGACUUGCAAAUGAGACAAAGAAAAUUGCAUGCCACGGGUUGAGCUGCACCUAGGACAAAAAAAGGUCGAGCCCUCGAAUUGUGUAUUGAGGAUGGACUUGCACCGAGGAGAAUAUAUAUACCACGAAGCUUGUCUCAUGUUAGCGAACGUGAAAGAAAAUAGAUAUAGACAACGACAAGCAAUAGAUCUGACAAGUUAACAAUUAGAACAAUGUGAAUAAGAAUACAUCGGCCGACAACAUGAGAUCAAGAGUUAGCGCGAAAAUUAAAAGAAUAAGACCCCGAAAGAAGACAAACAAAGAUGUCCCCAAAAAUGGUCCAAACAAACAAACACGUUGGAAGGGGUCCGUGCGUGACAAAAACUAACAAUGAUUAAACGUUGGUACGAGAUUUACAACAACAGAUUUAAUGGAUAGGAACUUAGAUGACACACCGUUAAAUCUCAUCUAGAUGACAUUUAGCAAACAAAGGGCCGAAACAAAAUAUUACCAAAAGGAAACAUAUGUUCACAAAUUUAAUAAAUAAUCGUGAAACAAAAAAAUGUUCACAAACUUGAAAAGGUGUUCUUAAAAUUUGUGCACUAGUUGGAAAAAGAUGAAAAAAACAAAUAAGAAGAUUUGUGCACAGCGGGUGGACAGACAAGCAAUUAGAUUCGGAUAAAUUGUGUGUUUAGAAUGUACAUGUAAUAAAGAUGCACAUGCGGACAAGUUGAGUAAUAAAAAUGGACAUGCAAUUAGGUUGAAAUGGAAUAUGUCGUAUACCAAAAUUAAACAUACAAAUGAAUUCAAACAACUUUAUGUGCGUCAAAACUAGACAUGAAACACAUAAUUCCCCUUCAGGUGCUCGCCGUUGCUCUGCCGACUCUUCAUAAUCGACUAAAAGAAGAACGAGACUAAAAACGAUGAAGGAACUUGAAGACAAUGCAUCCUCGUGCCUUGUAUUGUGUUAAUGACCCACGUACAAACAUCAGAAAAAGGCCAACGUAUGAAAACACAAUAAUGGAAAAAAACAGCUAUGCCCGAUGCUGCCAGGCCAUAUAAACCAGCGACCCAACCAUGCGAGAACAGUGCUAAAAAUAGACAUGCGGGAACAAGCUGGAAGGCAGACAUAGCCUGACAAAAAGAUUGACAAGGACAAGAUGACACGGAGCAAAUCAAUAGUUUGCACGAAUAUUUCAGCUUUGAUCAUGUGGUGGACAAUUUAGACGUGAGAUAAUUAUUUUAUAAUCUACAUGUAAAAUAGCAAACUAAUCCAUAAUUAAAUGAUUAGAGGACUGUAAUAUUCACUGUCCAUCAAAGUUUAAAUUUUAAAUUUGACAUUGGUUCAGCGGAAGAAGACGUUCCCGCCGACUACGAAGAUGUCUGUGACGACUUCGUCAAUCUCAGAAUGAUGUGCUGGCUUAGUCUUUCAAAUGUGCUCAUAGGGAUAGUGUAUGAGUACAUGUGUUCAUAAAAAUAAAUGUAUACUCGUGUAUAUGAAGGAUUUCGAGUGUACUCUGAUCAAAAAAUAAAUCUAAAUGUAAAAUAACAGAACUGAUUUAUUUAAUAUUAAGGGCAUUAGCGUCAUUUCUCAUGCGAUGUAACCCAUACUCUAUAUAAAGGCUAUCCUUGUAUCAUUAAGCACAGAAUCAAAACCCAAAGUUAGUUUAUCCUGUUCUUAUCUUAUCUUGGUGUACUUAUCUCAGUUGUUUAAUUUCCAGUAAACUGUCCUGUUAUCCUCCUCAUCUCCUCUAUCCUCGUCAAGAUCAGAUUUUUGUGGAUCCAUCCCUCCGCCCGGCCAUGAAGCGCGCUUCCGAUUCCCCGGCUGGUCGUGAUCCCCGGGCUCCUCCUCCCGCUUCCUGUGCCGGCGGCGACUCCAGCGAGCCAGCCAACAAGAAGCAGCGGCGGACCUCCAGCUCGACCCAGCCGCCUCCACCGGAGCAGCCGAGACAGGCGCCGGACCUGGGCGAGGACGUGGUGUUCGAGGUGCUGCGGCGGGCGGAGGCGCCGACGCUGGCCGCCGCGGCGUGCGUGAGCCGGGGCUGGCGGGUCCUCGCGCAGGACGAGCGGCUGUGGGAGGCCGCGUGCGUGCGGGAGUGGGCGGGCCUCGGCUUCUCGGAACACCUGCUCCGCGCCGUCGUGCUCUUGCUCGGCGGCUUCCGCCGCGCGCACGCCGUCUCCAUCAACGCCCGACGGCGGUUCGGCGGCGACUGCGGAAACUGGCACGGCGUGCGGGCGCCGGGACAGGGGAGGAGGCGGCCGGCGCCGUGGACCGAGGACGAGCAUAGGUGAGAUUUAGUACAUCAUCAGAGAUGGCUAUGCUAGCAUUUAAAAGUUGGAGCUUGGGAUGAUUCAACUAUGGAAGGGCUGCAAUUUGGACUGGGAACUUGGACUGUCAUGCAGCAUCAUGUGUAGCAAGAAUUCACUGUCCAUAAUUGGUUGCCGAAGCUGAUCAUAUGCUCUGUUCUUGUCUCCAGGUUGUUCCUCUUAGGCCUGAAGAAGUACGGCAAAGGGGACUGGAGGAACAUUUCGCGCAACUUCGUGCGGACGAGGACGCCAACGCAGGUGGCCAGCCACGCACAGAAGUACUUCAUCAGGCUCAGCUUGGGGGCGAGGAGGCCGAGCAUCCACGACAUCACCGCAGUUCACCCUCCCUCGCCGUCCCAGUAAUCGAUGAGCCGGGCGCUCGGGUGUCGAACUACGUCAUGGGUUUGCAAGAUCAAGGCCUCCAGUGUGGUACUCUACAUGAUCAGCUUGCUGCGAUCGGAAAUAUUUCGAUCCAUUUCGACGCCACCGAUCAGAAGUCUAGUGUAAUAUGGCCUUUGUUGUAGCUUCAUUGCUUGUAUUAUUAUUGAAGCAAGUAAUUGAUUAUGGGGAUUUUUCAGAACAUAGUAGUCUAUAAUUGUUGGUGUUGAUACUGAGAAUGUAAGGGGAAAAGGAUGUAAAGAACCUGCUUGAUGUUGUAGUAUGACAGACAGGGAUACUGGUGCUCAGUACUGAUCAUGUACAUUGUCAAGUGGACUUAAUUUUCAAUCUUCAUGGAUCCUGCUUUCUGGUCAGCUCAUGUUAUUGGAAACCUUACUCAUGCAGCAUCUCACACAUAUAUACCUAUCCACUAAUCCACAUCUAUAAUUCAUUCAAUUUCGAGCAUAUAUAAUCUGUCUCGGUGCUUGCGCCCAGUGUUUGCGAGUGUAAUUUUUUUGGAUUAACCAGAACGAGUUUGUAGUGAGUCAUCCAGCAUUUACUUGCCUUGCUCAUCUGGUCAACUUUUUGCUUGAUUGCAGCUCCAUUUUUUCCAACCUUGUGGAUUGACCUUUGCAUUGUUGGUCUGCAAUUAAGUACUUUAAAAAAUAUAAGUAUUUUAAAAAUAGGGAAGUCUUUUCCUGUAUAGAUCUGUAUUACUACUGACGAUGACGAUGAUGAUGAUGAUGCUGAUGUUGGAUCCACCAAGCAAUGGAAUUGGAAAUGAGUCAGACUUGCACUAGCUUUGGCUGCCUCCUUUUUCGGUCAACAUAUGCAAAUCUUUUUCCCUGACUCCUUUUUGGCCCUGGAAGAAAAUUCUAUGGGACGGGGCCUUAUAGUGCCCGGCCUGAGGCCCCUCUUCAGAUUUUGACAUGUCAUUGUUUACACAUAUUUUAAAGUUGCUUAGAGCAACUCUAGCAGACCCCGCAUCCCGCCCCGACCCGCAAAAUAACUGCUAAAUUGCGGGUCGGGGCAGGAAAAUCCGCACGAGCAGACUCCGCAUCCCGCGCCAACCCGUAUUAUUUUUUGCGGGGUGCGACAAAUCUUCUCCCCCAACCUCCAUCUUCACGGGCUGGGAGGCCGACCCGAGCUCAACCCCUAUCCUGCGCGAGAUUUGGCGGGAGGGACAUUUCCGCACGGCCUUUCCCCGUUCCCCGCACCCUCCACCACCAUUGCCACCCCUCCGCAAGCUCUGGUUCCUCCUCCCCGGCCGUUCCUCGCCGCCAUGGAGGACCCCAUUGCAUCAUUUUGUUCACAUUUUGUAGGACAAGAUUGCUCGACAUAGAUACAAGGACAUGGAAGCUUCAGAAGACAAAUUCUUCAAAUUAAAGCAUUGUUGGGAGUUGUUCCAAAAGUGCAACAAGUGGAAAUUGAUCGACAGAGAAUCCCCGCCAAAGAGAGGCUCACUUGUAAACAUGGAUGAAGAUGAGGAUGAUGAUGCCCCAAGAAAUUUGCACAAGCCCGAUGGUGACAAGAAGACUAAAGAGAAGAUGAAGAGAGAGCAAGAAGCAGCGAGCUUGAGGGAGAAUGGUCGCCUCGACCGGUCCGUGUUCCAGUUCCGGUGAUGUUUUCUCUGCUCCAUAUGAUGCCAAUGUGGAUGAUUUUGGUGCGGGAGUUGGAACAAGCGUUCCAACCGACGGAUGUGGAUUCGGUGGCGCCGAUGAACUUUAAUAUGGACUCCAUGGCGCGGAGUGAAGAUCGACCUCCAAGAUGAUGCCGGACAUGGGCGCAAACCUUUGCAUGCCCUCUUUUGCGUAAUGAAAUUCGCUUUUAUUUGCGCGUAAACUGUUUAUUUCAUUUGAAUUUGAACUUGUUUGCCAAACCCUAUGUCAUAUGCGAGAUUUGCAGUUUUCUGUUUGCGGGUCGUCGCGGUGGAGCCCGAGCAGACCCCACAGAUGCCGACCCGUAAAAAAACAUAUUCGACGAAUAUACUUUUAUACGGGUCCGUUUGGGGGGGUCUGCAUCUGUGCCAGCCCGCAAAAGUGGUUUUACGCGAACUGCAAACGCGUUUUGCGGGCCGGCAUUAUGCGGGGUCUGCUAGAGUUGCUCUUAAAAUCCCCUAAUCAGCUGAUACGUAUUUAUAGUAUGGAUACAACACAUUAUCAAUCUAAUCAAUACCUUCCAUCUAAUAAGCGUAACCAGAAGGUAGCGAUCUUCUCGCCAGUCUUCGCCGCGCCAAACGUGGAGGCGUCGUCGUCGCGACAUGUCCCCGACGCCGAACAUUGAGAAAAGGCAAGACAUCCGGAGAUAUGAGGGAGGCAAACCCCUCCCUGUGGCAAAGUUUUGUGUUUUGACUCAUUUAUAAAAGUUGAUCGAGAUUUUACUCUGAUUUGCAAAAAAAUCAGAAACUGAUCCUUUUCCUAUCGGCAGGGUCCAUGCAUGACGGUAGGGUAUAUAUAAUACGUACCAUCAAGGUCUCUGGAGGUAAGAAACAUAUCCACAUCAGCACGGCGUACCCUUACUGUUAAAUAGGUUGACGGUAGCCUAAACAACCCUAUCGUAAAGGUGUCUGGCGGUAGGUGCGAACACACACAAUAUCCGAUACUUAAGUAAAUUUUACGGUAAGGUGUGCACGUCUACCGUCAGGGUCCUUAACGGUAGGCUGUUAUAUCUUUACUGUCAUGAAUCCCGACCGUAGGAAAAUGGCCAGUUCUUGAAAUAUUUAUAAACUAAGGUCAGAUCCCAUUCAAUAUCAUAAAAGGAUCGAAACACGAAAUUGAGCCGCUCCUUGUGACAGGCAGUAGAGAAUGGCACAGGGAGCAAGCACUGGGGCACAAAACGUUUUGUUUUUUGGCCAACUUGUGUGUUGGGUGCUUGUGCUUUUCUGCCUCAGCUUUUCUGCAAGUUGCAGUGCAGAGACACAAAACCACUCACUCAGCUCAGCUCUCUGAUGAGGAUGGUGAUGGUGAUGAUCAUGAUGGAGGUAAGGUGAGGCAGCGUUGCGUGUCAUUAGGAGCUUCUGGGUGUGACGGAUGGAUGUGGUGUUGUGGUUGCUGCUGCUUCAAGCAGCAUUUCUUCAGGCUUGUCGCCUUUCCUUGUCACAUGUGUACUACGUACCAUUCUUUUCUUUCUGAUGUAUCAUGUGGCAGUGCAUUAUUUUCCAAAUUAUCGAUAGAGACAUGACGAAAUCAAAGUGGAAAUUAAAUCAUGGUUUAUGAUCGACGAUAUUGUCACCAUGAAACAUGUGUUUCUUCUACUUUUGCUGUCAUUUUACAACAGCUUCAGCCUCUUGGAGACGCAGGUGGAUCGGUAAACCCCGUGCCGAACAUUUCCGCGUCUUGACAAUCUGAGGUGACUUUUAACAGCUUAACUCGCGUCCGUGCUUCUCAGACCCGUAACCGGUAGGUCUAUCGCGCCAAUUGCGGCCGUGGUUAGUUUUUGACGUUUGCAUUGACAACAAAAGCAAUCAGUUUCUAACUUACAGCUUUGAAAGGAACCAACUCUCCAAAAAUAACAGUAGAAGUUAAAGUGUCACACCGAUAAACCAACCAUGUGCAUCCGGGAGGAGUGAGAUGGAAAUAGGAAAUUGGUGAACUUUGGACGCGUUUGGUUACCUGCACCGUUUUUGGCCACUUUGCAUAUUUGUUUAAGUUGGGUCUGGCUAAACAUAUGCAGGUAAAAAUUCAACAUCUAUGUGAUGAUUUGUUGCAUGCAUUCCUUCUAGCCUGUAUGUACCGAAACGGAAGACAUGUUGUUUGGUUGUGGCCUGGUUUGAGGUGAAACACAAGUUCGGUUGUUUGGUUAUAUCCAUGACAAUAGUGUGGUAACCUCCUCCUUGAUGUGGUGAGGUUACCAGAGGCAGAAAAAUACAGCAACCAGAACAAACUUAAGCACAUAUCAAAGUUUAACCACACACAAAGGUUAAACAUAGUACGAUAAGUUUUAAACGAUACUGCAACACAUAGUCUUAAACGAACAACCAACAACUUAGUUACGAACGAGAGUACAUUUACGCGUUCACGAUGAAGGCCUCGUCGUGCUUCUUGCAUUUGCUGACCACCUCCACGCCGUCGUCGUUGAAGACGAUCACCUUCAUGGUGUUCGGGGCGAGCAACUUGAAAGUCAACAUGUACCCGAUCCUAACCUGAUGAGCGGUGGCGAAGGUGGCCCAACCCUGAUCAAGGGUGACCCUGCCAUCGACCACCUUCACCGUGACCCUCCAUGAGCAGCCGGUGUUCGUCUUUAGACUGAACUUUGUAGGCAUGGCGGAAAAGUGCUUCGUGAAGUCCAGAGACAAAGGCAGAGCCUCCAUCUUCGGAGCAAAGAUCACCUUGCAGAAGUGGGUUGGUCAUGCCUCCACAUGGUAGUGCUUGUAGUUCCUCCGCUUGGCGUUAGAAUGAUCGAGCACCCGCACGUCCACCAAUGGCGGCACGACCUCCUUGCCCUUGUCCAAUGGUGGCAACACCUCCUUGCCCUUGUCCAUUUGCAUUAUCAACAACACACAGUUCAAAGUUCAACAUUCAUUCCUACCGGCCUAACGCUCCUAUAUUUACUCACACUUCUUAUCCAACACACACUCAAACCCCCUCUCUUCUUCAACCUCUCUGUUUCACCACCUCUCCCUCACCAUGAACUCCAAUCCCAAUCCUUUCCCCUGGGGCAUGGAUGGAGGGCAUUCUUCCUCGGGUGCUCUCUCGGUGACCACGUGAAGUUCGAGGACACAAUGGCAGCGUGCUCGAACUUCAUGGGCAUAGCUGAAGUGCACAAGGAGGCCGAUGGUGUGGUGAAGAAGGCGACGAGGGAGGAGUUGAGGGCACUGAUUCAUGACCCAGCGAAUGGCGCUAUGUCAGUCGACAUCCUUCGCUGGUCCAUGAAUUAGGACAACUCCGACGACGCUCGGCAGAGGGCCAAGUGGGCCAAGUAUAGGGAGUACAAGCGUCCCAAUGAUACUGUACGACACAGACUGUGGUGGAUCUGACGGAGGAAGACGAUGAGGUGUAGAUGAUGCCCAGGGAGCCGACGGAAGGUGACCGUGCAAAACCCAUCGUUCUUGACGGCGACGAUGAGGAAGAAGAUGAAGAGGAAGAAUUUGACGACGAGGAAGAAAACAAGCCUACACUCCACCGUAGCUCGACGCGACUACAGUGGUUGCUGUCGGUGUGUGUGGGAAGAGGGCAGAGAGCGGUGAGGAAGGGAGGUGAGGGUAAUUUACGACGACGCUUCGGAAAAUAACGCGACUUUUCGAGACUACAUCCACGUGUACAAUCGCCCACGUCCACGUGCUCCACAAAAAUGGCCGAUUUGACUAUUCCUAUGGAUGUAGGCCCAGAGGUGCUCUAAUGUUCUUGCUAUGCAUGCCAACCACUCAAUGCAGAUAACCAAACGACACAAAUUCUUUCCGUGCGGGCGCGGCCCGAUCUAACGUAGUCUGUCAAAUACGUCAUUUGUGAUGCACUGCACAUCUGACGACACUGCAACAACCAGGAUUUGAGAUAAAGCAGAACUCAUCAGGAAGGGCAGAUGGCCAAAUGGGUAGGCAACCCGAAAUAGAAAUGCCUCAAUCACUCUGAUGAACAUGAUGCAAACCAACCUAUGGUUGAAUGGUCAGGAGGACUGUGGUAUCCCCUGUCUAUCAAAAUUCAAAUUUCAGGUUUUUCGACGAUGUAAGCGACUUUGAUUGUACUAGACAGACAUACGGGUAAACUCCGCGUCAAAUAUUUGUUUCUUGACAAUUCGAGGCGACUUCUAACCGGUUAACUUGCGUCUGAACUUCUCAGACCCUUAACCAGUAAGCUCCUGGCAUGAAUUUUGGCUGCAGUUAGUCUUGACGAUUGUGCCGUUCGACAAAAGCACAAUUUCCACAUAGCAGGAAAAAAAAAAGCACACCAUCGUUUUUCUUUUUUUGAACCUGAAGGUGAGAGCCUUGAAAGGAACCAGUUCUCCAGAAAUUAACAGAAACAGUUACAGUGUCAGAAUGAUGUUUAGCAUUAUACAUGAAUCCAGGAGGAUUAAUUAAGAAAAAAAGAAGAAGAAGUUGGUGAACUUUCCGACGGUAGACAAGGUGCACUGCACAACCUGACAGCAACCAGUAUCUGAAUGAGAUGGCCAGGCAAUGUGAAAGCACUCAUCAGGAACAGGACGAGGAGGUUCACCUCAGCAGAUUAUUUUCAUCGACGGCGCCACUUCUUGCUCUGUAUUUUUUCUCCAGGCAACGUAAAACAUGUACUGUAUUUCCUGCUGCUACUUUUGCUGUCAUCGUUUAACAGCGUAUUCGGUCUCACCUCACGGAGACGCGGGCAGACAGAUCGGUAGACUCCGUGCCCAACAUUUCGUCGAAUUGACAGUAUGAGGUGACUUUGGAGUUGCAUCUGUGCUUGCUUCUCAGAUUCCUGUAGCUCAUAUAUAUAAAUAUAAAUAAUACUUCCCUGUCCCGAAAUAAGUGACUUAAAUUUAUAAUGAAUUUAAUACGAAGUUUUAAAAAAUAAAUAAAUUUAAUACAAAGUUAGUACAAAGUUGAGACUUAUUUUGAGAGGAGGGAAUAUAUUUAGGAAACGCUUCCUAACAGAAGUUUGAUAGGAGCUAAUCCUCAGACUGGUCGUGAGACGUCGAUACAGCUUUCAUCUCACUGCCGAAAUAGAUUCAAAUUUCCGUCGAUGUGUUUCCAAAUCUGGGCGAUUUUCUUUCCAUGUGUUCAGCCAUAACCACUCCCGUAAUAAUCGCCUCCAUCACCGAGCUCUCCGCCAUGAUUCAGCCAUCCCCCCUUGGACAUGAGAUUAACCGGGCCGGUGCGCCGUCCCAUCUAGUGGUUGCGCGCCUUCCACACGACGCGCACAAGGAGCGAGCUCACAACCCCCUUGCCGCCCCGAGCGUCUACAAUACCUUUGUCGCAUGCAGCCUCCGGUUCACCAUGGCAGAGGGUCCUCCCGGCUGAGGAACGAAGCCAUCACGUGAGGGAGACAACUGGAUUCGCCCCCUCGACCCCAUCAUCCGCAGGCACCAUCCUCAUCUAACCUAGGUAUUGAGUCCAAGAAAUCUUGAUAUACACCUCUCUGAUUUAUUUGCAUGUUCUAAGUGUUGAUCGCCAUGUCCAUAUGAUUGUAUAGACCCUUUUGUUGGGCUCGAGUUUCAGCACUCUAUAGUACUCAGGGUCAUCUACUAUUAUCUCUCAAUUAGUUAUGUACAGGAAGCACAUGUCCUUCCCAAUUUUGGGGGCAAUAUCUUCUCGGAUUUUUAUUUUCACAUAUCCAACAGCACCAUGUUUUUUAUGCCUCUUAACCAUUUGUGUUUCUUCAUUAUAAUGCAUAUGCUUCUUUCGGAUAUAUAGUUUGCUUCAUUUCGUGUGAGGGAGCAGGCAUAUGUUUCUUUUCUCUUUGAUCUGGAGAGAACCAUGCAAUGCUUCCAAAAUAUGGCCAUGCAUUGCUUCAUUUAAUCAACAUUAACCUUUUUAUAUUACUAUAUGCAUGACACAAAAAAGGUCUUCUGAAGCAUAUUUCGACUGCUGCUUGUGCCAACUGAAUUGCUUCCAUAAUGUUUUAUUUUCCCUUCUCCCCAACUUUAUUGUAACCAUUAUCCCCCUUGAAACAUGCCAUGCUGCCAUAUUGUACGCAAUAUGUUUCUGAGUUCUAGUAAAGUUGCUUCAAUAUUUCCAUCUUAUUCUCUGUUUUUUCAUUAUCCAAUUUAGCAAAUUGGUUCUUAGAUGUUAUUCUUGCUUACAUUGCCCUGCUUCAAUAAUAGUUUUUCACCAGUUAUUUUUGUUUCACUUUUACGUAUAUGGUUUCAUGGAAGUGAAAAUUUUCUUGAACCACAUUACACAUGCUUUUAUGUGAAAAUUUUGCUUCAACUUCUUCACUUUUAUCUCUCACAAACACUUCCUACUUAUAUUUCUCACAUAUGCUUCUGUGCUUGUAAAUUUUUACUUCAACCCCUACAAGUGUAUGCUUCGCUUAGUGAAUUAUUUUGUUUAAACUACUCCUGAGUCUGCUUCACUGUGCCUGAUUGAUGUUUCUGUUAUAUAUACAUUUUUGCAGCAUAAAGUUGUAGUCACGCUUCUUUAUUUGGGGCACAUGUCAAGGAUACUAUAACGAUGUCUAGAGCAUUAUGACUGAGAGGAGGCGCCACUCUUUGUUUGGUGGAUUCCUUGUUGGCGACAGACUAGCAGUACAUGUGAGCUCUCUUCCAUGAUACGAUGCUGCCAGGCAAGGGUUAAAGUAAUAUUCUUGUUUGUCUUGAAAAAUAAUUGUCAUUAGAAAUUUGUCCUUUGCGGACAACUCCGCAAUUACUUUGUAGCAAAUGUAAUAUUCAUAGGGUAACUAUUCUUCACUUAUGAUGCAAACAAAUUGCUAUUUGGUUGGAAGCAUUUCACUAGUCGGUGGAAACAAGCGAGUGAUGCUUCUGAUUUAUUGUGUUGAGAUGACCAAAAACCUGACCUUAUUAUCCAUUCAUGUUGUUUGAAGCAACUUCUAUGGAAGCAAAUUCGGAAUUGCUUUGAAGCAAAAUUUAUUUUCUUCAGAAGCAAGUUCUAAUAUUUUUAUGCAACGUUUGAUACUAACAAAAAAAUUGGAAGAACAUCACCAAUAUACCCAAAACAAUUCUCUGGUCGCAUGAAACAUAUCUUGUUUGCUCUAACAAAAUACAUUGGGCACAACAUCUGACAUGAAAUAGUCUCAAACAAUUGUAAUAAGACCGAAGCAAUUUAUAGUUUCGUGCAAACUCUAAUCUAAACAUAUGGAAGAAAUUUGAUCGAAAGAAAUAAAAAACAAUUCAAAACAAGAAAGGAAACCAAACUAAAGUUUUGGAAGCAAAGAUCCUCAUGAUUGAAAAUACCGAAGGAAGCAAACAAAAAUAAUCCCAAUGUUUUAUGGACUGUAUGUCCAUACAUAAAUUUGCAGUUCUUUUUACUGCCGGAAAUUACCUCUGAGUUCUCGUUAAGCUAUAGGCCUUGCCAUGCAUUUGACGUUUUGGCGUAAACUCUUUCUUGAGUUGACACGUGUUGGUUUGUAUGUUUUGGUUUAUUGCUGGUUUAUUUUAUCUUACUUGACAAUAGGACUGGUGUUCAGGUUUGAGUUGUGAAAUCUGAAGAGAAUGAUUGAUGGAGCAGAGUUGGAUUUACAUCAUAGCCAAGGCCCCGGUGAAUGGAAUGGAACCAGAAGGACUGGACGCGCUUUACUGCACUGUCAGAUUAAAAAGAUCUAGUCACUCUGUUUUAAAAUACAAUUUGUAUUACUUUUUUAAGACGUCAAACCUUUUAAAUUUGAUGAAAUUUGUAAAUAAAUGUAUCAAAAUCUACAAUAUUAAACUGUUGUGAUUAGAUUCACCGUUAAAUGAAUUUUCAUAUUUUUUAUUUAAUAUUGUAGAUGUCGAUAAUUUUGUUCUCAACUUGGUCAAAGUUGAAAAUUUUGACUUUCCAAAAUAUUAAUACCCUUUAUGUUUUGAUUGUGAUUGUUAGACCCUUCCUAACAAAUUGUUUUUUCUACUAUGAUUGUGAUUGUUACAGUCAAAAAAUUUCACUUCGUAUGAGCUUCACCUCCUUCCAUAAACAAGCUUGCUCCCUCUAUGCAUGUAUGCUACCUCCGUCCCUGAUUGUCUCCAUGAAUCAUGGAAGGGGGGAGCGAUACUUCACCGCCAUUGCCACGACCGGACGACGCGCAACACAGAUCAUGGUAGGGUAUAGUACAACACAAUACACAACACAAACGCACUCUCCUUGCACGCCGCUUAUCAACAACCCCCACGGCCUUCCAGCUGAGCCGCGACGUACACCAGCAGAGGCACCCACCUCGUCAACCCACAUCUGCGCGCAUGCCCCUCCAACUCCCGUGGCCGUGAGGGCCAUGGACGUCGCUUGGGGUCUGAGCUCGGACCGCUGUCCAUCUCCUCCGGGGACGGCCGCCUGAAAAGCUCUCUCUUCCUUCCUUCUCCCGCGCCACCGGCCACGUACGGGAUGGAGCUGGCCGUUGCCCGCCCGUUCCCGUCGCCAAGGUCGGCGGCCGCCUCAGCCUCUCCCGCGAGCUCGACGAGCUCAAGGCCGGCCGACGCCUCCCCGUCCCUUCCAGCGGCGAGAUGUGCCAGACCCCCGACGGACGGCCGAACCUUCCCCAACCUCGUCGUCACAACACACGAGGAACGACGACGAGCGGGAGGNAGGAAGGCGGCGUGGGCAAGGCAAGCGCCGAGGAUGCUCUCCGGCCGGUGCUCCGGAGGGGCCGGCCGGGGCUGCAAGGAGCCAGGAGGGGAGAGCUUGACGGUGGGCGACGAGGUGAGGCGGCAGCUGUGGCUCGCCGGCCCGCUCGUCGUCGGCAGCCUGAUGCAGAACCUGAUCCAGACCAUCUCCGUCAUGUUCGUCGGGCACCUCGGCGAGCUGCCCCUCGCCGGCGCGUCCAUUUCCACCUCCUUCGCCACCGUCACCGGUGUCAGCUUGCUGGUAAUAAGUAACAUUUGACUACCAUGGCGCUUCAUCUUCUCCACUUCAUGAAUUCCUGCAAUAGGGAAAGUAGUGGCUGCAUCCAUCUUGAUCCACCCAUUAAAUGAACAGUAAAUUCAGAAUAAUUAAAAAUAAUCAAAUUUUUUUGUGACAUUGGCCGACCUUUGUUCAAUAAUGUUUCGGUCAUUUUAUGAAGUUUCAACCACUUUUGUAGGUUCGUAUUAGGUUUAUUUUCUUUCACAUUUAUAUUGUGUUUCCUAAGUUUCCGUUUUUGGUGCGUGACUGCCCUCUGAUUUUACGUGCAAUUGCUUCAACUGCAUUUUAAUGUGUCCAUACACAAAAUAAUCUGAAACAUGAGAAAUUUUCAGUCAUCUCCACUCUAGGCAGUUAGUUUCGACGAUGCAUAGCCCAGCCCAUGGUACAAUCAUCACCCUUUGUGCUCCCUCGCCCCAUAUGUAUCCACUAGCAAAAUGGUUCGUGCGUUGCCACAAAAAAAAACCAUAAUCUCCAAAGAUGAUGACCACAUUAUAUUCAUAUAUCAUCGCUUGAUUUAGAAAUUUUGUGCACAAACGCAAGAAAAUGUUUCUUCUUUUAAAUUUAUUCACAAAUUGAAGCAAUCUUUACAUUUUUUUAAAAAAAUAUCAUGGUUGUCAAAAAUCUUGGUAACUCAAAGAUUUAUUCUGAAUUUCAAGAUUUUUUUUAUAAAACAUACAAUAAUAAUCCGAUCCAUCCAAUAGUUAAUUCUUCAAAAUUCACACAGGUAUAUUGUCACAAAGACUUAGAAGCAUUAAUGUUUAACUACAUACAUUAGAUCUUUCGUGAACAAUUUUACAAAUAUGGGAACGAUUUUAAAAUCAAGAACAUUUUUUACAAUUUACAAACAUUUACUAAAAAUCGUGAAUAUUUUCUAUAUUUCGAACGGGUUUAAAUAUUUUCUUUUGAAUUGGCCACCAAUUCAAGAAAAGACGAACAUAAUUUUUGAUGUUGGAGGAUUUUAUUUUAAAUUCACAAACAUUUUUUGAAAUGCAUGAAGUUUUUCUGAAUAAACAAACAUUUUUAUAAAUCAGUAAUAUAUUUAUUAAAUUCAUGGACAUUGUUUUGGAAUUUGCAAAAAAAUAUAAAAAUCCGGCGCUUUUUUUAAUACUAUUUUUAUUUCAAAAUAAAAGUUCCUCAGCAUUUUAUUCCAAAUUCCUAUUUUUUAAUAUGCAAAAGUUUUUUUAAUUCUAAAUUAUUUAAAUUAUAAAUAAAAAAAAUGGAACGGAAAAUUUUAAAUAAAAAAAGAAACUAUCAAAACAGGCAUUAGCUAUUUUUAAAAUUUUAGGACAUAUUUUGAAUUACAAAGCAUUUUGUUAAAUGCAUUUAAUAGUUUUUAAUACAUGGAAUUGUAUUUGAGAUCAUGGACUAUUCUUAUUGUACAAACAUUUUUAUAAAAUUGCAAACAUUUUAUUGUAUAUGCGAGCAUUUUUAACAAAACUCUGAGCAGUUUUUGAAGUGACAAACAUUUUAAUUUUUUAAAUAUGUUGAUUUAUAAUUUUCAGUUUAUUAGAAUUUUAAAGAUUAUUUAAAGUUCUAAAUUAUUUAAAAUAAAGAAAUAAAACGGAACUGAAAAUAAAUAAAUAAACGGAACUAAAAGCAGACGCCUGUGCAUGGGCCGGCCCAUACGGUGUGCUGAAUAUUCUCCCAGCGUGUAGAGCGUAAUAUAGAAGGUUUUUACAUGGGCCGGCCCAGUCCAAUUUUUUUCGCUUUGUGAAACGUUUUCUAUUACUUACCGGUGGCAUGGUGGGUAAUUUAUGCAAACUUUAGGGGUAAUUUUCAAGACGGACGACCAGAAACCGAUUUUGCUUUAUUAUUUUUGUCACCAUUACCAGCCGCCUAUGCCCUCACAAACCUGUCGGUCAUUUCCUUGUGCACUUGCCCCACCACCCAAAUCCUCUUACAUCAAUAUGAUUAUUUUUUCAAAUAUGCUUACCUUUACACUUUAACCAUAUGUAAGUUGCUUGUUAUUAAAAUUGGAUAAGUCCAUUUUUUUGAAUGCUGAUUAUUUUCACAAGAUUUGUGCUGUUUUUUUCUCUUUGCUUGUGUUGUCUUCAUGGCUUCUUUGAUUGAAUUUUCUACUUGCCCCUUUUUGGGAUCAGUUGAUUAUCUUAUUGGGCUUGAAGCCCACCACUCAUUGACUGUGUUAUUUCUUCCUUUUUUACGCAUUUUUACUUUUACUUUUUUUUUUCUUGUUUAGUCAAGUUUUAUUUUUUAAAUUAUGUGUUUUAUGUGAUUUCGGGUAUGUGUAAAUGUAUAUACGCAAGUAAUAUACAAUUUUGUAGAUUACACUAGGCUGUGAGAAGUACUUAUUCUUUGCAUAUCACAAAAAGUGCAAUUUCAACGCAAAGUUGUAUGUAAAAAUUUUAAAGUUUUAUUUUUCAUUUUCCUAAAGAGUCAUAACAAUACUACUAAUGUAUUGUUUUAGUUUUUUAUUAAAGGAUAAUAAUAAUGUGAGAAUAUCUUUUAUAGUUAGAUUUUGUUUUUACAAAAAAUCCCCUAUUAUAUGCGUACUCUUGCAUAGUAUGAAAAUGUUACUUGUAUAAAUUGUGUGCAAAUUUUGUCGUUACAUGUUUACCUUUUUAUGUUCUUUCUUAUUAAAUUGUAAUACCAAUGCCACCAAUACAUUCUUCCUUAGAAAAAACUAUUUUUAUUUUUCUGGUCUAAGUACACACACAAGUAGUAUACAAUAUGUGCGUAAAUUAUAAGAGAGUGUGAGAAUUUCACUGUUAUAUAAGUAUUCUUUGUACAUUACAAAAAGUAUAAUUUUAGUCUAAAGUUGUGUGCAGUUUUGUUCUUUCAUUUUUCGUCUUCAUAAACGGUAAUAUGAACGCCACUUAUUCAUUCUUUCUUAGAGAACUUUAUCAAUUUGAUUUGAUUUUACUUUUUAUUUCAUUUUUUUCAUCAUUACUGGUAAUACAAAUGCCACUAAUUUGUUCCUUCUUAUAAAUGUUUUUUGCGAAAACUGCACUUUUAUAUUAUAAAAAUAAUAAUUUCUGUUUAAAUUUGCUUGCAAAUUUUGUCAUUAUUUCUUUAUCUAAUUUAUUUCCUUUUUUAAGGGUAAUACUAAUGUCACUAAUUCAUCCUAUAUUAGAAAAUACCAUUUUUGUUUUCCUUUUUUUUUCUUGUGUCUUACCAGUUAUUGGGUGGAUUUCUGUUACGUUUCAGAUCAAGUCCUAGUAUUUGGUGGUCUUCUGUUUUAUGUUUGCAAAGGGCCGAGUGCUUCUGUCCAUCUUUUAUUUUGUUUUGUUUUGUUUCCUUGUUCAGAAAAGGUAGUAGGCUGCCUCAAACUCUUUCUUCUCUGGAAGCAUUCUAUGCAUUAUUUUGAAUUGUUUCUUUCUUUAGGAAUGAUACGAUGCUGCAUAAAUUCUUUCUCCUCUAGAAAACCUUCCGUCCACGUCAAAUGCAUUCUUCUUUAGAGAUUUUCUGUCUACCACCACCACCUAUUUUUGAGAUUGUUGAUCUAAUUUCUAUGACGCAUGCAUUUUUUACCAGAUAAUUAGCCAUGUGUUGUUUUUCAAAUUUGUAUGAUUCAUCGCUAUCGGCAUUCUUCUUCCUGAUCAGACAGGCAUGACCAAUGCUCUGGAUACUCUAUGCGGCCAAUCAUUUGGCGCCGGGCAAUACCAUCUCCUCGGCAUCUACAAGCAACGCGCCAUGCUGCUACUCACCGUCGUAAGCAUGCUGCUACUCACCGUCGUAAGCAUCCCUGUCGCCGUCGUGUGGUUUUACACUGGUGAGAUCAUGCUCAUGUUCGGCCAGGACCCCCGACACAUCGCCAUGGAGGCAGGCAGGCACGUACGCCCGGUGGAUGAUCCCGCUGCAGUGCCACGUAGGCAUGGACGUACCGAGCGGGCUUUUAGGCCCGCUCGUGGCCCGUUCGAUUUUGGCCCGCUCGGUCCUGUCCCGACAAGAAAACAGUCCGGUCCGGGCCCAGUAAUCUAGACCGAAAAAAAAUCGGUCCGGUCCGGUCUUUAACCGGGCCGAACGAAUGGACCGAGCCCAACAACAACAAGAUCGAUUGAUCUGGUAUUCUGAUCGAUGCCCGUUGCCUCCUCCUCGCUCGUUGCCUCCUCUUCCUCGUUACCAGCAGAACGGCGCCUCCUCCUCCAUUCCUAACCCUAACCCUAAGGCGACGGCGCCGUCGUCCGCGCCUCCGCGGCCUCUCUCCUUCACCGACGAGUCGACGAGACGACGACGACGUCUCCUCUUAGUCCAAGCUGGAGGAUCGUCCUCACGUCGGGGUCGCAACAAGACCACGCCGUCGAUCCCGCCUCCCCCGGUGGUGAUGGUGGAUGGACUGCUGGUGCUGGACUGUCACUGCCAUUGCUCUUUUUUUUCUGAAGAAAUCUUUUUUUUCUGAAUUUUAGCUGUCGCUGCUGCUGUAAUUGGUUCAGUGGCAGCUAACUACAGCUAAAUAACACUAGGCAGUAGCUAACUAACACUAAGCAGCAGCUAACUGCAGCUAAAUAACACUAAGCAGCAGCUGGAGCUGGUUUUGGAGUCGGUCCAUUCGGUCCAAAAAGCUUGACUGAGCUUUCUCUGCUCCGGUGCGGUCCCUGGGAAUCAGCCCGCUGCAGAGCUCGGUCCGGUCCGGGCCGCCGGCGGCCGGUUCUUGCAGUUGCAGUCGCAGAACAUCGUGCUCCCGGUCAUGGGGAGCGCCGGCGCGGUGGCCCUGUUCCAUCUGCUCGUCUGCUGGCUCCUCGUGCACGUCGUCGGGAUGGGCAGCAAGGGAGCGGCUCUUAGCACCGCCGUGUGGGGCGGCGCGCCUCGCCGUGCACGUCGUGGUGUUCUUGGCCAUCUCGGAAGGAAUCGUCAUGGCGAUGGUGGUGGCACAUGUGCGCUACGUCUGGGGCCACGCUUACAGCAGCGAGGAGGGGGUCGUGGCAUACGUUGCCAGGAUGCUGCUGCUCAUCUUGGUGGCCAACUUCUUCGACGGGAUUCAGUGUGUUCUCUCAGGUACGUACAUCACCGGCCGUAAGUGAAUCUGCUCCUCGAUCAGUUGCUAGCUAUGCAUCGCAUGUGUAUAUGACACUGCAUUUUGUGUAUAUAUAGGUGUCGCUAGAGGCUGUGGGUGGCAGAAGAUGUGCGCCCUCAUCAACCUCGGCGCGUUCUACGUCGUCGGCGUGCCGGCGGCCUACCUCAUAGCCUUCGUGCUGCGCGCCGGCGGGAUGGUGCUUUUCCUUUCUAUAUCUAACUAUUCGUUUGGUUUGGAGUUAGACCAACCUUUACCUUGGAUGCGAUGCUGAUAUGUGUGAAACAUAAUGAUAAUCGUAUGUGCAGGGCCUUUGGAUGGGGAUCAUCUGCCGUGUUCUGGUGCAGGUCUUGCUACUCAUGUUCAUCACACUGUGCACCGACUGGCACGAGGAGGUAUAUAUAUACAUGUACAUGCAAAUGAUGUGGCUUGUCCAUGCCGUUUAUGUUCAGCAGAUUAGGCUUCAUGCAUGCAGUGUGUGUGCUGAAUAUAUAUGUGAUGCAUAUAUAGGCGACCAAGGCGAAGAACAGAGUGUUCAGUUCUUCUGGUUCGAGGGAUCGAUCGAUCUGCACACGACAUUAAGAUAUAUGAGGAGGUCUCGUGCUGCUGAAGGCAAAAGAGGAUGAAGAGAAGAACAAGCGCUUCCUUUUCAAUUUUUGUAGCAAAGCCGAGGAAGGGAAAUGUCUUUGAUGAUCUCAUUGCCCAGUGAAAAACACAUUAAAGACAGGGAACACUGUCAAGUUAAGGAGAAAAUUACCAACGAAAAAAGUUGCGCCGUUGCCGGGGAUCGAACCCGGGUCACCCGCGUGACAGGCGGGAAUACUUACCACUAUACUACAACGACUAGAAUUGUUCCGAAAUGCAAAUUGGUCUUUCUUAACGGGACCGUCCGAAGAGCCUGAUUGGCAUUCUCACUUGUGUUGUUUCCCAAAUUGACAAUCGUACAAAAGUGCUCCCAUACGAAUACAGCAUCGAAACCACCAUGCUAUUUGUGAACUCAAAUUCAUCAUUAUCAACACUUACACAUACAAGGUGUACAUGACAUUCGCGUGUACUCCCUCCGUUCCUAAAUAUAAGACCUUUUAAAGAUUACACUAUAAAUUACAUACGGAUGUACGUAGACAUAUUUUAGAGUAUAGAUUCACUCAUUUUGCUCCGUAUGUAGUCUUCUAGUGAAAUCUUUAAAAGGUUCUAUAUUUUGGAAAGGAGGAAGUAGAUAACACUACACUUACAUUAUUGGGCACAAACAACACAAGAUUUUAGAUGCAUAAGCUAUUAUAUUAACUACUCCCACGUAGUAGUAGGAUAGUUACCACGUACGAUUGAUUGCAAGCGAUCUAGCAGCGAGGUAUGGGUGAUCGAUCAAAUUGCACACGUCAACUCGUAUCCGUUCCCUCGCGGCGGUGAUCGAUCAAAAGGCCACUUCGGCGUUGGCAAACCCCACCCCCACCCGCCCCCCCACCCCCCCACCCCUUCUGGUUCACGUCCGCCACCAUCUCGCCAAACCUGCACGGCGGGUUCACCACCGGCACUGUGCCGCGCGCAUACUGUCCACCACCGGCACGCCCGCUGCUGCCAAGUCCACCGGCACGCAUGUCCCUGGACUUCCGUGCGAUGAUGACGGAGUUCACCACGUCGUCGUCGGGGUGGCACACGGCGAGCACCUCGAACCCGCCGCGCCCAAUGUCCUCUGGGUCCACGACCGGGUACAGGAACCCGCGCGCCCCGUGCGACGAGGGCCGCCCCGUCCGCCAUGUGCGCGCCGAGGUGCGCGAUCACCUUGGCCUUGUCCUCGGCGGCCAUGCCCACGAGCGCCGCCAGGAGGACGACGUCGUAAGCGCCGAGCUCGUCGGCGAGGUCCGCGACGUCGGCCGUGUGGAACGACAUGCGGGCGCCCACGCCCGUGUCCCCGCGGAACAGCUUGCCGGCGCGCUCGUUGGCGGCGCCGCACAGGUCGUAGUUGUCGAACACGGCGUCGGGCAGGUGGCGCGCGGCGAGGACGUAGGAGCUGAAGGGGAGCGGGCCGGAGCCGAUGAAGGCGACGCGGGCCGGGGCGAUGCCGCCGGGCACGCACGUAGCGCGCCAGCAGCUCGUACUCCAGCUUGCUGAGGUUGACGUAGUUGCCGUAGUAGGGGAAGACGGCGAGGUGGUGCAGCGGGUUGUCGAAGGCGGCGUGCAUGCAAGCUUCAUGCGUCCAUGCCCAAUAUCAACAAGGCUCGUUUCAUGGAAAAAUUGACAAAAAUGACCCCGAGGGAAGAACUCACGGAGUGAUCCCUCGGAGAAAAUGUCACCCGGCUGACCCUUUUGUGUGACGCCCGACACCUAGGCGCCACACUACACUCUGUGACGCCUAGCCGUUCGGCGCCACACCCUCCGACCACCUGGCAGAGAGGGCCCACCCCCCAGGUCGUGUGACGCCUAAGCCUCCGGCGUCACACAUUGUAAUGUGUGGUGCCGAACGCUUAGGCGCCACACAUCGACUUAACUGGCCACGGGCCAGCCCCCCUCCCCACCCCCUCCCCAUUCCCCUCCCUCAUUCAAACAGAAACAUCAACGACGGCGGCUGGCUCUCUUCGAAUCCCUAAUCCCCUCCCCAUCUCCUUGUGAUUUCUUCCUUGGAUUGAUCCCCCAAGGUAAUCUCUUCCGUUUCCCAUCCUUCUAUCCAAGUGGAAUAGGUUUUUGUUGAGUAGAUUGAUUUGAGUAGGUUCUUAGGAUUUGACUAGUUAGGAUAUGAGUUCUUAGGAUUUGAGUAGUUAGUAUAUUAGUAGAUUCAUAUUAGUAGUUAGUAUUAAUAGUUAGUAUAUGACUAGAUUGAUAUGAGUAGUUAGGAUAUUAGUUCUUAGGAUUUUAGUAGUUAGUAUAUGAGUAGAUUCAUAUGAGUUCUUAGGAUUUGAGUAGUUAGGAUAUGAGUAGAUUCAUAUGAGUUCUUAGGAUUUUAGUAGUUAGUAUAUGAGUAGAUUCAUAUGAGUUCUUAGGAUUUGAGUAGUUAGGAUAUGAGUAGAUUCAUAUGAGUUCUUAGAAUUUUAGUAGUUAGUAUAUGAGUAGAUUCAUAUGAGUUCUUAGGAUUUGAGUAGUUAGGAUAUGUAGAUGAGUGGAUUAGUAGAUGAGUAAUUUUUUGAAUAUGAGUUUUUUUUUUGUGAUUUGUAGGAUGGUGUGGCUUCUGAAUAAUGUUUAUGACGUUGAACACCGGGCCUAUUUCAUGUCGGAGAAGAAAAUGCUAAGUAGAUCAUACGAUAAAAAACAUGUAUUUAAUAAGCACUUGAUAUCUUCUUCUCCUAUCUGUUUGCAGGAGCUUACGCCCUUGAAGAUCCGGUCUCAUGGGGCAUCGUCUGUAAUGCAGUACGAUGAGCGGUACACCCCAUACAUCGAGAUGACAGGACUCCUUCCAUUCAUUCAGCUUGUGAGUCGGUCAACGCCUAAUUUGAACGCUGCGGCAGUCACAGCACUUAUUGAUCGUUGGAGGCCGGAGACACAUAGUUUUCACCUCCGGACCGGAGAGAUGACAGUUACUCUUCAAGAUGUUUCCAUGAUCACCGCAAUUCCGAUCGAGGGGAAGCCUCUUUGUAUGAGCACUGAUUCCGAGGGAUGGCGGCAACAAAUGAAGGCCCUUAUUGGUAUGUCGCCUCAGGAGCCGGAGGUAGAAGAUGGAGGGAAGAAAGAUAGAGUCCCGGCCGGCGCUCCUUUCACUUGGAUUGCCGCGAACUUUGCUCAUUGUCCUGAGGACGCAGAUGACGAGGUGAUCCAGAGGUAUGCUCGCGUGUACAUGUGGUACGUCAUCUCUAGGACUAUCUUUGCUGACGGCACUGGCAAGAAUGCUACAUGGAUGUGGCUGAAGGCGUUGACUGUUUUCGAUAACAAGUUCAGUUGGGGCUCGGCCGCACUGGCUUACCUGUAUCGGCAGGUAAUAAAUUGUUAAUAUUAAGUACUCUCUGUUAUCUUUUUCUGCCAAACUAAUGCAUGUUUGUUGUUACUUGUAGUUGGACGAUGCUUGUCGCAGGACCACAAAGGACGGUGGAGUUGGUGGUUGUAUGCUCCUACUUUCAGUAUGGAGCUGGGAAUGCCUACCUGUUGGACGCCCUAAAAGCUCAAAGUGGAAUACCUGGGAUGACCACGGCAACCCUGUACGGCUUCCUACAUGGGCUUACAAGUGGGACUUGGUAUGAGAGGUGGCAAGCGAAGUGAACCUAUUGUACAAGCAAUACACCAACGAGAUGGAUUCGCUUACCCCCGAGCAGGUAAGAUGGUUUCAGAGUUGACUUCCAGCUUUUAUGUUGUGAGUAAAAUGAAUUUUGCCUUUUAUGUUGUGUUGUAGGUGGAAUGGCAGCCAUAUGGUGCCGGGCAAAACUUUGGUGAUGCACACACGUUCGAGCUCAAUCCACUAUGCGUGCAGGAAAAACAUCUUUGGCUAAUGCGUUGUCCCCUUAUAUGCAAUUGGGCGGUUGAGUUUCAUCUCCCGCAUCGUGUGAUGCAUCAAUUUGGGUUCUUUCAGCCACACCCGCCAGAGUGGGUGGACACGGACACACAGCUUCACAGGUAACAAAAAAGAAGUACUGAUUAGUUUUGUUAUUAGUGUUGAGCGAGCUACUGAUGGGUUUUGUUAAAAGCAGGUUGGAUAGGAGGAGGCAGCGAAAGAUCAAGGAUUGGCAUAAGCAUCAUAAGAGCUAUGUCAUUAUGUUCGAGCAAAGUGUGCAGGCAGCUUCGAGCAUACAACGAACCCAGUACCGCCAGCAUUGUUCGCUUGCGUUCAACAACUACCUAAGAUGGUUUCAGGAGAGUACUCGUGUCGAGAUUUGUCCGCCGGCUUACGAGGAGGACAUAUUGGAAGAACCCACUGAGUACGAUGCACUUGCCCAAGACGAUUACAACAAGUUAAUUCGCGAAGGGUACCAAACUUCCUUCGCCCCUGUCCUGAACUUUGUGGUAAGUGUGCUCACCUAUGUUAAGUAUGAAUGCUAGUACACCUAUUCGCUUGCAUUUCAUUGUCUUGUGAUCAUAGCGCAAAGAGGUCAAGAAACAAGUUGAUGAGUCCGAAGAUAUUCUAGAGAAGACACCUGGAGGGAAAAAGGGAGAAUCUGCACUUCGUCUUUUCAUAAAGGUGUUGUGUCAUUAUUAUUAUUUUGCCCACGAAUGCAACAUACGGUACCUUAUAUAUGUCAUUUAUAUUUGAAUCUAACAGGAACAGGGCAAGAAGUUACGGCGCCUAUCCAACAUUUUAGGUUGCCGUGACCCUGAAUAUGUUUCACCUUCGAGAUCCGGUUCAUCCGAAAGAAAUACUCUAGACGAUUCAGCUUCUUCGGGCGCUCGUAUGGACGAUGGUGACAUUACCUCGGCAGCUAAUACCCAAAGAAAUACUAUAGAGGAUGAUGUUGACACUCCUGAGGUAUGACAUAGCCAUAAAACAUUGUGCACUUUCAACCUUCAACUUUGAACUUUCAACCUUCAUAUGUAUUAGGUUGCGGAUGGGAUGACGUUGAAGGCUUUCCAACGCUCCGCUUACAUGUUGAAGCCUAGGAAGGGAUGUAGGCGGUACUCACAGGAUGAUUAUGCGAAAGGAAAGAACCCGGUCGCCGGGGGCUCUCGUUUGUCAAGGAUGAGAAGCAUGGACGAUGAGGAUGACGAUGACGAUGACGAUGAGUCGGAUGACCCGGAGCAAUUUGUAGUUUCGAGAAGAAAGAAGCUAGUUUCUAAGAGGGGACGAGGCGCCAAGAUGUGAACCGGAGCCAUUUGGAGUUUUCAAUCAUUUCCAAACCAUUUCACUUUUGUUGUUGGUGUUGAUGUUGCACUUGUGAACCAUUAGGAGUUGGGAACUUGUGUUGUUGGUGUUGAUGUUGCACUUGUGAACAAUCAUUUGCACUUGUUGGUGUUAGAUUCAAAUAUAAAUGUGAACUUCUGUUAUUUGUGUUGCUGUCAUAUGUUUUAAAUUUCUGUCAAAGCUGUCAAAAUAUGUGAUGUCAAAAUGCUGCAUACCUGUCAAAAUUCAGCUUCCAGCAGGUUUUCACAUGUGUGGCCUAAGGCUUAGGCGCCACAUGUGGCGCCUAAGCCUUAGGCGCCACACAUGUGAAAACCUGCUAGCAUCUCAAAGCACACUAUUUCCCGCCACCUUUCCCUCCUCCGUUCUCCCCAAAUUUUGAGCACACCCUUUCCCGCCACCUUUCCCUCCUCCGUUCCCGCCAAAAUUUCCACGUCUUCUUUCCCACCACCUUUCCCUCCUCCGUUCCCGCCAAAAUUUCCACGUCUUCUUUCCCGCCACCUUUCCCUCCUCCGUUCCCGCCAAAAUUUCCACGUCUUCUUUCCCGCCACCUUUCCCUCCUCCGUUCCCGCCAAAUUUUCGACGUCUCUUUUUCGGUCUAUAAAAGGAGGCAUUGGACUGCCUUCCUCCGUCAUCCAGCCUCACUUGAGAACACUACCACCGCUUUAGUCAAUAUGAGUUUGCCUUGCUCGGAUCAAAGCAUCAGGCCUAAGAAAAUGAAGAGUGUGAGUUUGCCUCAGGGGGUGGAAGCAGUUCGAUGUUGGUGCGGUGAUCUCUGCAAGGUGAAGGAGGUGGAAGAUUUUUCAGAUUGGUUGGGCAUGAAAUUUUUCAUGUGCGCCAAUUAUGAAUCUGAUCCACCCGAAUCUAUUUCUGCGUACAUCAGGCCCCCGGUAUGCUCAAGUCAUCCAGAUUAUUGUUUACUUGAAUCUGAUCCAUCCGGUAGUCUCCUCCUCCUCUCUGCAUGUACUAUCGUUGGAUUGACACGGAAAUGCCGGACUGGGCGGUGACCGAGAUUCGUGAAAGAGGUCGCCGUGCAUGGGCUAGCUGGGACUUGGAAGAGCGCCGCGAGAAGGCUGAAGCAGAGGAGAAAGCAGCGCAGAAGAAAGAGUGGGAAGAGUACUGUGUGGAGCAGAGGGCUUUUCUUGAUGAGAUGAUAAGGAAAAACCAAGAAGAGAAACUACAGUUGGAGGAGGUUUACAGACAGCGGGAACAAGCCCGUGAAGCUGAGAGGGAGAGAAAGAGAGAAAGAGCUCGUGCGGCCAAGGCAGCAGAAGAAGCCAAUGAUGGAAAAGGAAAAUAUCCACGUUGGACUCAGUAGAUUUCACGAAGUUGUAUGAGCAAGUUGUAUCUUAAUUUCAGCAAGUUGUAUCUUCAUUUCAGCAAGUUGUAUCUUAAUUUCACCAAGUUGUAUCUUAAUUUCAGCAAGUUGUAUCAGCACGUUGUAUCUUACUUUGUUUGUAAUCUUAAGAUAGGCUCAACCUAAAUAAUAUGUGUGAGUCAUGGCAAAGCACUUGAGAAGACUAAGAUAAGGAUAAGGAUCAACAUAGUCUGGAUGAAAUGAGAAACAUAGUCUUGAUGAAAUGAGAAACAAAGUGCAAGACAUAUCCUCAUGAACAUAGUCUUGAUGAAAUGAGAAACAUAGUCUUGAUGAAAUGAGAACAAAGUGAAACUAAGAUAAGGAUGAGCAUUACUCAUCAAAAGAGUAGCCAAGUUAUCUGGUACUCUGUUUCACUUGUGUGGCACCUAAGCCUUAGGCGCCACACAUGUGAUGUGUGGCGCCUAAGGCUUAGGCGCCACACAUGUGCAACGCCCAAGGCUUAGGCGCCACACAUUCUGGCAUGCUGAAAACUGCAGCACGUAGUGGUGGAGGAGUUCAAAUAUACAUCACAAAUAUGCACAAAUAUACAACACAAUAAUACUAGAAUUAAAACAUACAACACAAAGAGGGUGGAGUUCAAACAUACAUAGGGUUCGUAAAGAACAUACGUCCAAAAGUGCAUACAUAGUGGAGUUUCAUAGUAAGAAAGCGCGCAAGCGAACAAGGUUCAACAACACAUAGGGUUCAACAACACAUAGGGUUCGAAGAUGAAAGCGCGCAUGAGAAUAGAAGCAUCCGACUCUAUUGGGUUGAGCAAGGCCCCUUUCCCUUCUUCUUCUUCCUCUCUUCUUCCUCUUCCUCUUCCCUUUUGCGCAUUUUUGAAGCCUCUUCCUUAACCCUCUCCGUGAAGCGUUGAUGCUCCCGCUCUCUCUUUGUUGCGCCCUCUGCCAUCAUCUUCUUAAAGUUAGCUUCAUAUUCUUUUUUACGUUUCUCUAGCGUCUUCCUGUCAUUCUCCUUUAUCCUAGCCUCAUAUCUCCGGCGCUCAAGUUCCAUUUGCCACUGCUCAUCCAUCCUUGCCUUAUGCUCCUCAUCCUUCUUCUUUCGCGCUUCGGCUGCAUCCUCCUCUCUCAACUUCUUUGCAGCCCUCUCCAUCAACCGCUGCUCCUCACUGGCUGCAUCCUUCUCCUCCCCCACUCCGCUUUUGCCUUGUUGGGUUGAGAAGCGGCCAUACCUACAAAACAGGCAUCAAAGCUCAUAGUUAGUAAAAUAACACACAAAGGAGCAUGGAAAACAACAUGAUAAAGAUAAGUCAAAUAUGUGACAUACGGAAAUGGUCCUCGUAGGUAUCCACGCAUACCAAUCCUAGUAAGUCCACCACAUAUCCCACCACUGCCUCUAGAAGCACCACCACCUAUCCCACCCCUGCCUCUAGCACCACCACGAUCUAUCCCACCCCUACCUCUAGCAGCACCCCUGCCUCUACCACCACCACUGCCUCUAGCACCACGUCCUCUAGUAAGCCCAAGUCGGCUAGGAACAUGUUGAGUAGGAACUUGUUGGGUUGUGCUUGCUUGACCCGUCCCUUGUUGGCUCGUGCUUCCUUGACCCGUCCCUUGUUGGCUUGAACUUGGUUGGCUUGACCUGGAAUCAUUGUUUUUGGACUUCUUCUUUCGCGUCGUACACCUUCUUGUGUUGUGCCCUGUUACACCGCACUCUCCACAAUGUGAUCUCUCAGUGGGCUCUUGGAAUUGGUUGUUCCCCAUUUCUCUGCCACCACCAUGGCCCCAUCCAUCCAUGUCUCCUCUAAAACGCUUUGUCUUUCGUCUUCCCAGUUUCACAACCUUCCACUCUGGGUCAGGCCAUAGUUGUACUCCAUGAUACUCCAGCCAUUGUGAUUGGUCAAAGUAUGGUUCAAAUCUAGGAGCCCAUGUAUGCUUCGUGGUCAUGAUCGAGAACUCGGACUCCCUCACGGUUAGUGGAUGGUUGACGUCCACAUUCCUACUGCGAGCUGCCGUGUACAAAUGCGAGCAUGCGAGAUGAAGCAACCUUGGCCUCCCACAAGAGCAAUCACACAAGGAUAAAGAUACCUUGAACGCCCUGUUUCCGUGUUGCUGGCCAUCGUUUGUUGUUCCUCCGGGCUCAUUCACUUGGUAUGUCCAAUCCUCGUUGUUGUACAGGGUAGCCGUUUGGGAGUCAGCCUUUCGUGAUUGAAAUACCAUCCAUUUGUCAACCUUUGGUGGAAACUGGUACUUGUACUUUUCCUUGUUCUCUCCCGCAAUCUGAUCAUUUGUUUCUUGCGAGUACUUUAGAAAGUAUGCUCUCAACUUGUCGAAUGUGUAUUGAACUAUUGCCGUCACCGGCAACGCACGGACACCCGGUUGAAGCAUUCUGCCAUGUUACUUGUCAUUUGACCAUAUCUUCGGCCAUCUUCGUCAUAAGCUCGUGCCCACUUGGCCCGAAGUUCAAUGUCCAUGUUCAGAAACUCAAGCCCACCUGCAUCAAGUUUUUUGUUUACAAGCAAAGCAUUGUACAAUCUUGCAAAUCGUUUGUCCGAAAAUGCUUGACAACAAUCUUGAAGAUCAUCCGCCAACUCCUUGCUACCACAUGCCCGGUAGAAGUUUGCACAAAAAUGCCUCAUGCACCAUCGAUGAUGCAAAGGAGCAUGGCCGGGAAUGACAAUGUCAACCGUGUUAAGUAUGCCUUGAUGGCGAUCCGAUAUGACACAUAUUUCCCUCUCAAACGGUAAUACUUUGGUUCUCAAAAUAUGCAAGAACCAUUCCCAGUUAACAUUGUUCUCUGCCUCAACCAAAGCAAAAGCCAAAGGCAUCAACCGGUUAUUGGCAUCACUUGCUAUUGCAACCAACAAAGUGCCCUUGAAUUGUCCGGUCAAAAACGUGCCAUCGAUGGAGAUGACAGGACGACAGUGCUGGAAAGCCCUCACACAUUGCUCAAAUGCCCAAAAUGCACGACCAAAUACGCGGACCCUAUUUCCAUUGAGAAUCCUUGUUUUCUCCCCAUACGGCUCGACCACAUGAACCAUGCCCGGGUUAGUGUGGGCAAUAGCUCCCAACAACCUAGGUAUGCGGUUGUAUGCUUCCUCCCAAUCACCAUACAACAUCUUGAAUGCGGCUUGCUUUGCUUUCCAUGCCUUACCAUAUUUCACACCGUAGUGAAAGAGGGCUUUCACAAGGUCUUGUACGCUUUUUAUGCUCAUUGUAGGAAGAGAGGAGAUGGAGUUGGAAAGCCUAUAAGCGAUGAACUCGGAGGUGAGUUGUCUAUGGCUUUGCGAUGAAAGGGCACCAUCAACCCUCUUGCCUCGACACAUGUGAGGCAUACAACUGACAAUGUUCCAUCCUGGCCCUCCUUUCCAUGGUCUUGCACGGACAAUCCAAGGACACCCUCUAUCCUCACAUGCAACCGUGUAACGCAGCUUCAUGUUUGAAUGAACAACUCUGUGUGGCCUAUAAUGCGUAACAGAAUAUUCAUCCAACCACAUCUUCAGUUCAAAGAAUGUCUCGAACUUUGACCCCGGCAAAAUAAUAUUCUUCCCAUGUGUGUCCCGAUGAGAAGGUGGCCUAACUCCAAACAAUAUGCCUUCGCCUCCGUCAACCACGGCUUCAUCCGCAAGGCUAAGAUCCUCGAACAAUGGUGUCCGGUGAUCACGCUUUAAUACCUUCAUGGAAGCUUCGGCCUCCUUUGCCGUGAACCCUUCCUCAUCAACUUCUUCAUCGGGACCCUCAUCGUCAGACUCAGAGGCAUAGCCACGUGAGUACGGAAUAGAAUGGUCCAUUGUCUCUUGCAAAUUAUAUUUGUCCAAAUCACCAAGAUUGUUGUCAUGAAGAACAUUACCAUCAUUCUCAUCAUCAUCGUGCUCAUCAUUAGCCUCUACCAAUGGUUCAUGUUCAAUGUUGACCUAUUCGUUGGCCUCAUCGACAUAAGAAAGAGGUUCAAUGUUGGCCUCUUCGUUGAUGGGUGCAGGAAUAGCUUCAACAAUCGGAGAGGCAACCCGGUUCAAAUCCAACAAGUUAGGAACAUUUGUUUUGAUGGCAAAUAACUCUAGAGCCUUGUCUAGUGAUUCGGCCACCGUAUCCUUGUAUGCAAGCCAACGUUGCUCGGAGUUGACACGCAUGGUAUUCCAACGAAUGUGCAUUCCGAAUCCCACAUUAUGCCUACCAUCAAACUCAACUACAUCACUAGGGUCCAUCCAAUUCAAAUCCUUUCGGACUUGUUCCAACAAUUCACCAUAGCUAGGACACAAAUCGAACACCAUGUCAAGCUCAUCCGGGUCCGGAUCAAUAUUGCCUUUUAAAAAGGCAUCCUUGUCCACGUGAUGAACAUAAACACAUGUUCUUUCCAUCCCUAAACAAAAAAAUAUAGAACCUUUUUUAUAAGCAAUCAUACAAUUACAAUAACCCUAGCCUAACUUCCAAACAACCAUAACCCUAACCCCAUCAUAACCCUAACACAACCAAACAUCCCUAACCCUAGCCUAACCAUAGCCUAACCCUAGCCUAACCCUAAAACAACCAUAAUGCAAACAUCCAAACAACCCUAAUCCUAACCCCAUCAUACCCCUUAUCCUAACAUACAAACAAAUACAACAAUAUCAUAUACAUCCCAUAAUUCAUGAAAAACUAGGGUUUCCUCAAAUUUGCAAAAAAAAGACCACAAAAGAUUUUUCUUUGGAUGAGAAUGAGGGGAGAGGUGGGGAUUACCUUAGGGGAGUGAUUGGACAACAAAUGCCCGGUCCAAACCUUCAGAUUUGGUGAUUUAGAGAAGGAUUUGAGGGAGGGGCCAGUGGGUCGGAGAGGGGGUUGGGGGAGGGGAAUGAGGAGGGGGUGGGGAGGGGGGGCUGGCCCAUGGCCUGUUAAGUCAAUGUGUGGCGCCUAAGCGUUCGGCGCCACACAUUACAAUGUGUGACGCCUGAGGCUUAGGCGUCACACGGCCUGGGGGGUGGGCCCUGUUGGAAUUAUGCCCUAGAGGCAAUAAUAAAUAUAGUUAUUAUUAUAAUUUCUGUAUCAAGAUAAUCGUUUAUUAUCCAUGCUAUAAUUGUAUUGAAUGAAGACUCAUUUACAUGUGUGGAUACAUAGACAAAACACCGUCCCUAGCAAGCCUCUAGUUGGCUAGCCAGUUGAUCAAAGAUAGUCAGUGUCUUCUGAUUAUGAACAAGGUGUUGUUGCUUGAUAACUGGAUCACGUCAUUAGGAGAAUCACGUGAUGGACUAGACCCAAACUAAUAGACGUAGCAUGUUGAUCGUGUCAUUUUGUUGCUACUGUUUUCUGCGUGUCAAGUAUUUAUUCCUAUGACCAUGAGAUCAUAUAACUCACUGACACCGGAGGAAUGCUUUGUGUGUAUCAAACGUCGCAACGUAACUGGGUGACUAUAAAGAUGCUCUACAGGUAUCUCCGAAGGUGUUAGUUGAGUUAGUAUGGAUCAAGACUGGGAUUUGUCACUCCGUGUGAACGGAGAGGUAUAUCGGGGCCCACUCGGUAAUAAAACAUCACACACAAGCCUUGCAAGCAAUGUAACUUAGUGUAAGUUGCGGGAUCUUGUAUUACGGAACGAGUAAAGAGACUUGCCGGUAAACGAGAUUGAAAUAGGUAUACGGAUACUGACGAUCGAAUCUCGGGCAAGUAACAUACCGAAGGACAAAGGGAAUGACAUACGGGAUUAUAUGAAUCCUUGGCACUGAGGUUCAAACGAUAAGAUCUUCGUAGAAUAUGUAGGAUCCAAUAUGGGCAUCCAGGUCCCGCUAUUGGAUAUUUACCGAGGAUUCUCUCGGGUCAUGUCUACAUAGUUCUCGAACCCGCAGGGUCUGCACACUUAAGGUUCGACGUUGUUUUAUGCGUAUUUGAGUUAUAUGGUUGGUUACCGAAUGUUGUUCGGAGUCCCGGAUGAGAUCACGGACGUCACGAGGGUUUCCGGAAUGGUCCGGAAACGAAGAUUGAUAUAUAGGAUGACCUCAUUUGAUUACCGGAAGGUUUUCGGAGUUACCGGGAAUGUACCGGAAAUGACGAAUGGGUUCCGGGAGUUCACCGGGGGGGCAACCCACCCCGGGGAAGCCCAUAGGCCUUGAGGGUGGCACACCAGCCCUUAGUGGUCUGGUGGGACAGCCCAAAAGGGCUCUAUGCGCCAUAGAGAUAAAAAUCAAAGAGAAAGAAAAAAAAGGGAGGUGGGAAGGAAGGGAAGGACUCACACCCACCAAACCAAGUCCAACUCGGUUUGGGGGGGGGGGAGGUCCUCCCCCCUUGGACUCGGCCGACCCCCUUGGGGCUCCUUGAGCCCCAAGGCAAGGUCCCCUCCCUCCCACCUAUAUAUACGGAGGUUUUAGGGCUGAUUUGAGACGACUUUUCCACGGCAGCCCGACCACAUACCUCCACGGUUUUUCCUCUAGAUCGCGUUUCUGCGGAGCUCGGGCGGAGCCUUGCUGAGACAAGGUCAUCACCAACCUCCGGAGCGCCGUCACGCUGCCGGAGAACUCUUCUACCUCUCCGUCUCUCUUGCUGGAUCAAGAAGGCCGAGAUCAUCGUCGAGCUGUACGUGUGCUGAACGCGGAGGUGCCGUCCGUUCGGUACUAGAUCGUGGGACUGAUCGCGGGAUUGUUCGCGGGGCGGAUCGAGGGACGUGAGGAGGUUCCACUACAUCAACCGCGUUCACUAACGCUUCUGCUGUACGAUCUACAAGGGUACGUAGAUCACUCAUCCCCUCUCGUAGAUGGACAUCACCAUGAUAGGUCUUCGUGCGCGUAGGAAAUUUUUUGUUUCCCGUGCGACGUUCCCCAACAGUGGCAUCAUGAGCUAGGUUCAUGCGUAGAUGUCUUCUCGAGUAGAACACAAAAGUUUUUGUGGGCGGUGAUGUGCGUUUUGCUGCCCUCCUUAGUCUUUUCUUGAUUCCGCGGUAUUGUUGGAUUGAAGCGGCUUGGACCGAUAUUACUCGUACGCUUACGAGAGACUGAUUUGAUCGCUACGAGUAACCCCGUUGCUCAAAGAUGACUGGCAAGUGUCAGUUUCUCCAACUUUAGUUGAAUCGGAUUUGACCGAGGAGGUCCUUGGAUGAGGUUAAAUAGCAACUCAUAUAUCUCCGUUGUGGUGUUUGCGUAAGUAAGAUGCGAUCCUACUAGAUACCCAUGGUCACCACGUAAAACAUGCAACAACAAAAUUAGAGGACGUCUAACUUGUUUUUGCAGGGUAUGCUUGUGAUGUGAUAUGGCCAAUGAUGUGAUGUGAUAUAUUGGAUGUAUGAGAUGAUCAUGUUGUAAUAGAAAUAUCGACUUGCACGUCGAUGGUACGACAACCGGCAGGAGCCAUAGGGUUGUCUUUAUACUAACGUAUGUGCUUGCAGAUGCGUUUACUAUUUUGCUAGGAUGUAGUUUUAGUAGUAAUAGCAUGAGUAGCACGACAACCCCGAUGGCAACACGUUGAUGGAGAUCAUGGUGUGGCGCCGGUGACAAGAAGAUCGUGCCGGUGCUUUGGUGAUGGAGAUCAAGAAGCACGUGAUGAUGGCCAUAUCAUGUCACUUAUGAAUUGCAUGUGAUGUUAAUCCUUUUAUGCACCUUAUUUUGCUUAGAACGACGGUAGCAUUAUGAGGUGAUCUCUCACUAAAAUUUCAAGACGAAAUUGUGUUCUCCCCGACUGUGCACCGUUGCUACAGUUCGUCGUUUCGAGACACCACGUGAUGAUCGGGUGUGAUAGACUCAACGUUCACAUACAACGGGUGCAAAACAGUUGCGCACGCGGAACACUCGGGUUAAGCUUGAAGAGCCUAGCAUGUGCAGACAUGGCCUCGGAACACAUGAGAUCGAAAGGUCGAUCAUGAAUCAUAUAGAUGAUAUGAUUAGCAUAGGGAUGCUUACCACUGAAACUAUACCCAACUCACGUGAUGAUCGGACUUGAGCUAGUGUAAGUGGAUCCUCUCCCNNNNNNNNNNNNNNNNNNNNNNNNNNNNNNNNNNNNNNNNNNNNNNNNNNNNNNNNNNNNNNNNNNNNNNNNNNNNNNNNNNNNNNNNNNNNNNNNNNNNAUGCAAAAACAUUUUUGGAAUUUGAAGAAUAAUUUUUGAAAAUCCAAAACUUUUUUGAAAUAUAAACAGAAAAGAAAAAAAAUAGAAAAGCAGAAAAAGAAAAAUAAAAAAUAAAAAUGAAAAACCAGUUUAGGGAACCUUAUAGAAGUUUACCAAAACCAGAAAAAACUGGCUGGGAACCUAUAGAAGGUUUGCAAAACCAGCAACAACGCCUAGAGAUGUUUCGACUGAAUGGGCCGACCCAGUCACAAGAAUCACUCGAUCUGUCUAUACAAAGCCUCGACUCCCUGGUGUAGAAUGCGAUAAAUAGGAAAUUCCUUGUUCACCAGCGCCUAGCAUGCCAAAUAGGGUUGCCUUUAACGGGCGCUACAGGUGCCAAAUAAGAUUUUGAUAUUUAUUACUCGGCUUUUCUUAUUACUCGGCCUUUCUCUUGUCUCUGCCCGGUUCAGCUCGAGAGAGCAACUAGUUGGAGAGCAUUUUUUCGGGAGCCUUUCAAUAAUCAUUCACAUACGUCAUCAUUUAGUCAGAUGUCACGCUCUGAACUUUUUUAUAUUUUACUUUUUUCUAAAAAAAUCACACGUGUUUUUGGCUGUUUAGAUUGAUUUUUUUUUUUUUGUGUUUCAUUUUCACCAGUGUUUCUGAGCUUUUGGUUGAACAUAUAACUAAAAAAAAUACAGAAAAAACGCUUUUUUUGUUCUUUUUUCGCGAUAGGCACGGUUUUAGUUCUACGAAAGGCACGGCUUGCUUUCGCAAGAGAUACCUCCGUGCCUCUCGAAAACAAAAAAACAUGUUUAUCUGUUUUUUUCAUGAGAGACACGGUUUUGUUUUCGUGAGAGUCACAACCGUGCAUAUCAUAAACGAAUAUACAUACAUAUAUAUAUAUAUAUAUUAUGAGAGGAAUGAUUUUGUUUUCACGAGAGGCAUGGCCGUGUCUUUCAAAACAAAAAAGAAACGUUUUUAAAAAAAAAAUUCAUGAGAGGCACACUCGUGCCUUUCGAAAACGGAACAAAAAAUACAUUUUCUGUUUUUUUGCGAGAACCAGGUCGUGACUCUCAAAAACAAAGAACAUGAUUUCUCUUUUUUUAUCCGACUUUUUUCAUGAAUUUUUUUAUCAAAAUCUAUCAAAAUAAAUUUUAGUUCUCAAGAUCUCAACGCGAGGAAACCAACGAUGAAAACGGUUCGAGAUUUAGACAUGCGGUUUGAAAAAAAUAAAGUAUUUUAAAAAUACAAAUCUAUGAAAAAAGAAAAGAUUGUGGGAAUGAUAUUUAAAUAUUAUUUUUUAGUUAAUGAUUUCGGUUCAGCUGUCCGUCCCAGUCCAUCACACUGUACUCGUAUCGGGUUCAAUCUGGUCAUUGUCUAAAAAACAAAACGCUUCUUCCUUCUUGAUGCUUUUUAGGUUUUGUUUGCGGGUACCACCUUAUACGUGGCCUCAAAAACAAAAAAAUAAAUCAUGCAUGAUACGUGACCCAACUUUGGUUUGUUGGUGGGGUCCCGACAUUACCAGUGACGAGCAUGAGGAGCCCACCAAUGUUCAGUGCUAGGGCCACUCACUCGGACAGGCUACCAGUCUCCCAUCUCCCGUACCGCGCAUGACGCUAGCUCAACCACACUACGGCACUACUCGCUGCUCUGUUCCUAAAUAUAAUUCUUUUUAAAAAGUUUUAUUAAAACGGCUACGUGCGAAUGUAUGGAGACAUAUAUUAGAGUAUAUAUUCAUUCAUUUUGCUUCGUAUGUAGUCCUUUAAUAAANNNNNNNNNNNNNNNNNNNNNNNNNNNNNNNNNNNNNNNNNNNNNNNNNNNNNNNNNNNNNNNNNNNNNNNNNNNNNNNNNNNNNNNNNNNNNNNNNNNNUUUUUUUUAUUUAUAAUUUAAAUAAUUUAGAAUUACAAAAACUUUUGCAUAUUAAAAAAUAGGAAUUUUGAAUAAAAUGUUGACGAAUUUUUAUUUUGAAUUAAAAAUAGGGUUCAAAAAAAGCGCUAGAUUUUUAUUUAUUUUUUGCAAAUUCCAAAACAAUGUCCAUGAAUUUAAUAAAUAUAUUACUGAUUUAUAAAAAUGUUUGUUUAUUCAGAAAAACUUCAUGCUUUCAAAAAAUGUUUGUGAAUUUAAAAUAAAAUCCUCCAACAUCAAAAAUUAUGUUCGUCUUUUCUUGAAUUGGUGGCCAAUUCAAAGAAAAUAUUUAAACCCGUUCGAAAUAUAGAAAAUAUUCACGAUUUUUAGUAAAUGUUUGUAAAUUGUAAAAAAUGUUCUUGAUUUUAAAAUCGUUCCCAUAUUUGUAAAAUUGUUCACGAAAGAUCUAAUGUAUGUAGUUAAACAUUAAUGCUUCUAAGUCUUUGUGACAAUAUACCUGUGUGAAUUUUGAAGAAUUAACUAUUGGAUGGAUCGGAUUAUUAUUGUAUGUUUUAUAAAAAAAUCUUAGAAAUUCAGAAUAAAUCUUUGAGUUACCAAGAUUUUUGACACAUGAUAUUUUUUAAAAAAUGUAAAGAUUGCUUCAAUUUGUGAAUAAAUUUAAAAGAAGAAACAUUUUCUUGCGUUUGUGCACAAAAUUUCUAAAUCAAGCGAUGAUAUAUGAAUAUAAUGUGGUCAUCAUCUUUGGAGAUUAUGGUUUUUUUUGUGGCAACGCACGAACCAUUUUGCUAGUGGAUACAUAUGGGGCGAGGGAGCACAAAGGGUGAUGAUUGUACCAUGGGCUGGGCUAUGCAUCGUCGAAACUAACUGCCUAGAGUGGAGAUGACUGAAAAUUUCUCAUGUUUCAGAUUAUUUUGUGUAUGGACACAUUAAAAUGCAGUUGAAGCAAUUGCACGUAAAAUCAGAGGGCAGUCACGCACCAAAAACGGAAACUUAGGAAACACAAUAUAAAUGUGAAAGAAAAUAAACCUAAUACGAACCUACAAAAGUGGUUGAAACUUCAUAAAAUGACCGAAACAUUAUUGAACAAAGGUCGGCCAAUGUCACAAAAAAUUUGAUUAUUUUUAAUUAUUCUGAAUUUACUGUUCAUUUAAUGGGUGGAUCAAGAUGGAUGCAGCCACUACUUUCCCUAUUGCAGGAAUUCAUGAAGUGGAGAAGAUGAAGCGCCAUGGUAGUCAAAUGUUACUUAUUACCAGCAAGCUGACACCGGUGACGGUGGCGAAGGAGGUGGAAAUGGACGCGCCGGCGAGGGGCAGCUCGCCGAGGUGCCCGACGAACAUGACGGAGAUGGUCUGGAUCAGGUUCUGCAUCAGGCUGCCGACGACGAGCGGGCCGGCGAGCCACAGCUGCCGCCUCACCUCGUCGCCCACCGUCAAGCUCUCCCCUCCUGGCUCCUUGCAGCCCCGGCNNNNNNNNNNNNNNNNNNNNNNNNNNNNNNNNNNNNNNNNNNNNNNNNNNNNNNNNNNNNNNNNNNNNNNNNNNNNNNNNNNNNNNNNNNNNNNNNNNNNUCACUUGCUUGGGCUCAUUUCUUCUCAUCUCAUUAAUACACGUCUUUUUUUUGGUGGGGUAAAUAGAUACACGCUUUUAGACUCCUCAUUCCUAAAUACUACGAGCCUUUUAAGGUUUCACUAAAAGACUAUAUAUGAAUGUAUAUAUACAAACUUUAGAUUGUAGAUGCACUCAUUUUGCUUUGUAUAUAGUUUUUUAAUGGAUGUUUUUAAAAGACUUAUAUUUAGGAGUGAAGGGAGUAGAUUGUAAACAAGGUUUCUAUGUUUAUGCAAAAAUAAUACUAUGUAGAACGGGCUGGGCAAAAUUGACCCUCAAACAUCCGCGGACAAGUUUACUCAGUCUCGUGUGCGUUCGGUUUUAAGCCCUUAUGUAUCAAUGCGUGUAGCCAUGACCUCAUUUUUUCUCUCUCUAUAUGUCUAGUCACAUGCAUAUGAUUAGCGAGACGAAAAGAAAGAAAAUGAAAAAAGAAUAAAGUAAGAGAAAAUAUGGUCUACGAUGAGUCAAAUCCUAUGUGGGAACUGACCUGACAGACAAGACCGGACGCUCCUCAUAUGACCCCUGCCUAUGGGCUGAGUAUGAGGUUUUACAUAUACUCGGACAUGUAUAUGAGGACAAAACAAGGGAUCUGAUCGGGUCGGUUUUUUUCCUUCUCUCUCAUGUCCGUUUAGUGAUCGGGGCGUCUACCGGGUUAAUUUGAGGGGAUCGGCUGUGGAUGCGCUUGCAUAUUUGCUAAUCCAUCCAUCCUGAGGGCAUAUUAGAUUGUUAUUUUUCAUAGUUAAACUUUGUAAAACUUUGGUGUAGUUCAUGGAAAAAAAAUAAAACAUCUAGAAUAUCAAAUGUAUACCAUUAGACUCGUCAUGGAUAUAUUUUUUCUUUAUUAACUUGGUCAAAGCUUGCGAAGCUUUGACUUUUAAGAAAACUAUUGCACGCUCUUUUUUUUAAAACGAAGCGAGUACCAUCAAGUUUUAGAGUAGGCAUCAAUGGUUUCUGCAAAAGGUAAAGUUGAGCCGGAGGUCCUUUGUGAAAACAUAUGCAAAGUGUUGGAUUUAUGUGAAUUUGGAUGCAAUUGUGGUGUUUUCUAGUUAAUCUUGCAUGCUUUUUUANAACUUUUUUUUACUAUAUUUUGGCUCUCUCAAAUUUGGAUGCAAUUGUGGUGUCCUCUACUCUCUCUCUCUCUCCUUGUGUAGAUACACAUGUUUGAGUGGCAAAUCUGACUAUUGGGUUAUGAGAAAAGCGAGGGCAAAUGUAAACAAAUCACUUACACUAAAUAAACGCCUUCCGCGUAUGAGACGACGUUGGGACCAAACAUCGAAUAUGCCAAUUUAGGCUCAAGAAGUCAAGAGCCNNNNNNNNNNNNNNNNNNNNNNNNNNNNNNNNNNNNNNNNNNNNNNNNNNNNNNNNNNNNNNNNNNNNNNNNNNNNNNNNNNNNNNNNNNNNNNNNNNNNGUGACAAGGAAAGGCAACAAGCCUGAAGAAAUGCUGCUUGAAGCAGCAGCAACCACAUCCAUCACACCCAGAAGCUUCUAAUGACACACAACACAACAGUGCCUCACCUCCAUCAUGAUCAUCACCAUCACCAUCCUCAUCAGAGAGGUGAGCUGAGCUGAGCUGAGUGAGUGGUUUUGUGUCUCUGCACUGCAACUUGCAGAAAAGGUAAGGCAGAAAAGCACAAGCACCCAGCACACAAGUUGGCCAAAAAACAAAACGUUUUGUGCCAUUCUCUACUGCUUGUCACGGGGAGAGGGAGGGAUCUGCCUCAUAUCUGUGGAUGCUCUGCCUUUUCUCAAUGAGGGAAAGAUGAACAGGGCCAAAAAGGAGGCAGGGAAAGAUUUUGCAGAAGUUGAUGGAAAAAGGAGGCAGCCAAAGCAUGAGAUGCCAAAGCUAGUGCAAGUCUGACUCAUUUUCAAUUCCAUUGCUUGGUGGAUCCAGCAUCAUCAUCAUCAGUAUUAGUAGUAGUAGAGAUCUAUACAAGAGAAUAUUUUCCUGUUUUUUUAAAGGACCUAAUUGCACACAAACAAUGCAACGGUCAAUCCACAAGGUUGGAAAAAGAUGGAGAUGCAAUCAGUUAAAAAGUUGACCAGGUGAGCAAGGCAGGUACUAAAUGCUGGGUGACUCACUGCAAACUCAUUUUGGUUUAUCCGAAAAAAUUACACUCGUAAACAUCCGAGGCAGGUUAUAUAUGCUUGAAUGAAUGGAUAAAUGAUAGAUGUGGAUAGGUAUGUAUGUGUGAGAUGUUGCAUGAGGAGUAGGGUUUCCAAUAACAUGAGAGCUGACCAGAAAGCAGGAUCCAAGAAGAUUGAAAACAAGUCCACUUGACAAUGUGCAUGAUCAGUACUGAGCACUAGUAUUCCCUGUCUGCUCGUCUCAAGAUACUACAGCAUCAAGCAGGUUCUUGACAAUCUUUUCCCUUACAUUCUCAGUAUCCACACCAGAAAUUAUGGACUAGUACCAAGCAUCACCAGCAUCAUACCUCUCUCUCUGCUAUGUUCUGAAAAAUCCCCAUAAUCAAUUACUUACUCCAAUAAUAAUACAGGCAGUGAAGCUACAGCAAAGGCCAUAUUACACUAGGCUUCUGGUCGGUUUUCGUUGAAAUGGAUCGAACGGUUGCAUCUUCUAAUACAACAUACUCCGGUUCGCGGCCAGCUGAUCAUGUAGAGGACCACACUGAAGACCCUGAUCUUGCAAACCCAUGCCAUAGCUCGGCAUCCCCAUCGUCCGGCUCGGCGAGUUGUAUGGCGCAUUCGCUCCGCCGUGCUGCUUGGUGUCNNNNN
This 66667-nucleotide long non-coding RNA is filed under the name Hordeum vulgare. Its description in RNAcentral is "long non-coding RNA (HVUL_LNC006325)". Lineage: Eukaryota; Viridiplantae; Streptophyta; Magnoliopsida; Poales; Poaceae. The record is from RNAcentral.